Molecule: long non-coding RNA, 55930 nt
Filed under: Ananas comosus (pineapple)
Lineage: Eukaryota; Viridiplantae; Streptophyta; Magnoliopsida; Poales; Bromeliaceae
Description: long non-coding RNA (ACOM_LNC006420)
Source: RNAcentral
GGAUGUCAACCGACGGGUUUUAAAAAUCCAAAUUCGAACAUGACUAUCAAAUCUGAAGUCCGAACCCGAAUCCGAAUACGAACCCGAUGGAUUUUAAAAAUUUAUAUCCAAACCCGAACCCGAGCAAAAAUUCGAAACCCCAACCCAAGCAAAAAUUCGAAAUCCGAACCCGAACUCAAAAACUCGAAUCCGAAUCCGGAACAAAUCUGAACGCAACCAAAAACCCGAAACCCGAUUCUAAACCAGAAAACCCGAACCCGAAAAUAAUAUUUACCAAAUUUCAAAAUAUAUUAUACAAAAAAACUAAAGUUUAAAAAUACAUAUUCAAAUACAAUAUUAAAUAUUCAUACCAUAAGAGAAAAAUAAAAGUUUAAAAAAAUACAUAGAUCUAAAAAAUUAACUCAUAAGAACUAAAGGACUAAAAUUAAAAAUGCUAAUUAAGAAAAAAAAAACAAAUUUUUUUAAAAAUUUAGAAAAGAAAGAAUAGUUCCAUAGCCCAACAACCCAUAAGCACCAAGAGAUUACUAAUUAAAAGAAAAAUAAAAUAAAAUUUUCUAAAAGUUUUUUUAAAAAAUAGUUUCAUUGUCCAAAAAUCCAUAAGAUUAAGAGACUAAAGUUAAAAUUACUAAUUAAGAGAAAAAUAAAACAAAAAGAUUUUUAAAAAACUAAAAAAGAUUCAUUACCCAACACCUCACAAGAUCUAAGAGAGUAAAGUUAAAAAUACUAAUUAAGAGAAAAACAAAACAAAUUUUUUAAAAAAAUUUUAAAAAAAAGAUAACUUCAUUACCCAACAAUUCACAAGAACUAAAAAACUAAACUUAAAAAAUAAGAAAAAAGACAUAUAGAUAAGAAGAAUAAAAAAAAGCUACAUAAAAAAAACAACCUUCAUUCUCAAAUUAUUUUUAAAAAAUCCUCACCUUUUUUUCUCAUAGGUUUGGAGGAAGAAAGAAGCGAGAAACCCUCUUGACUUCUUGAAGAGGAAUUAAUAGGAGACUACAAUGUUUUAACUCCUAGGGUUUCGGCACAACUUGGGACGGCUUUGAAAUUUGAACAUUAAAGUUUAGGUUAUAAACAUAUAUGUAUUUUGGUUUGGGUUAUAAAAGUGUUAAGUAUUUUUUUAGCCCUUAAAUUCAAAUCUAAUGGUUUGAAUUUUUUUAUAUAUUAUAUCAUAUUAAAUUUGUUCUUAUUCUGAUUUGAGUUCGAGUUUUUUAAAAAUAUCUAAAUUCGAACCCAAAUUCGUCAGAUUUUUUUUAAUAUUUAUUUUCGAAUUGAUAUCCAUUUACAUUAGGUAAAAUCAACUACAUUCUGGUUUGGAUUAGAAUUAAAUUCGGAUAUCGGUAUCCAUUUACAUCCCUACACCGUGCUCACCUACUAAGAGAUAAAGCAGUAAAACAGUAUUUCACUGUUUAUGUCAAGAGGCAUUUGAAUCACAUUAUCUAAAAUUCAUAGAUAUUAAAAAAAAAAACAGAAAUUUCGUUCAUAGUAAUAAAAAAAUUAAAAAUAUUAUAAUUCCUCCGACAUUUAAUUCGCGCAAUUAUUAUUGAAGAUUAUAAAGAUUGUAAAAUUUUAUAAUAGACUGAUCCUAUGAAGAUUAUGAGUUUUGCUGCCACAACCAACUUAAAGAUUCGAAACAUCAGACCAUCACACUUUAUAUGGAGCCAAAUUUAGAUAUAAAAGUAGCAGAAACAUUAGAAAAAAGCAAAAAUCACGAGUAAAUGAGUCCUUAGACAGACUUCAGCAUAAGUUAUAACAUAAGCUUAUACGGCCUCCUACGUACUACAAGUUCCGUCGUAAGUUAUAACACAAGCAUAGUAGAACAUCAGUGGAAUAGCGGAAACCUCCACAGACCAGCAAGGCUAAAAUCUACUUAACAGCAACAGCACCAUCCGGACCAAUAUUUUGGAGUGGCUGCCUGCAUAGCAGACAGAGUUUCUUCUUCUGGAUCUCUUGCCCGCUGGUAGCACCCACCUCAACUGAUGGAAACUCUGUCGAUUUGCCAAGCUGAUGGAAAAAAAGGUUAGAAAUUGAAAAAACACUGCAUUGUUGAGAGAAAGAGAACGGAUCCGCUUGCUCACCUCAUUUGCCCUGGCCUCAUUUGCCCUGCUUCUCGCUGUCCUCCCGCAAUAAUUUCCAACUAUCUCCUCAUGCGUCAUGUCGAAAAACUGGUUUAGCCCAACCCGGCAACGUGGUCCCUUAACCAUUCGCUUCUUUGCACGGAACUUGUUUAUAAAGUCAAUUCUUUUGCAAAAGAUUGCAAAUCGUCGCUCCUUCUCUGCAGCAUCCGGAUACGUGCGUUUCUACUUUCUGAUACAUAGCUCAAACCUCCCACGCCUCACCAUUUCUGUCGCCCAAGAGACGGCCUUGCCGGUGAGUCCAUUGGCAAAGGUAUUCAUGCUGCUGCUGAGAUGGAAAAUAAUUGUUUGUUUCGGUAGAUCGAAAAUAGAGACUCCAAGGAGAAAAAGAAAUCCAAUAGACACAUAGUAUGAGGAAAUCAAUAGAAUUCGAAUGAAAAGUACUCGGGCAGUAUUCAUUUAGAAAUGAAAUCUUUUUAUUUCUAAAAACUUGUUGAGAAAUACUCCAAAAUCUUUCAGAAUUAUUUACUUAAAAUUGCAUUAACUAGUAGAAUCAAACAAUAGGUAAACAAGAUCUGCAAUCUCUAUAAUUCUAGAAUUUGCAGCAGCCGGAUAGGACAUAAAGAAGAUAAAGUCGAAUGUGAUAACCCUAAAGAGGAAAAUAUGAUUCAACACAUCUGACUUGCAUCUGACUUGCAUCAGGUGUACGACAAAAGCAGACGCAUAAAAAUUAGGUCAGAAAAUGAAACUAAUCACAAACAUGUCAAAUUAAAGUUGAGAAAACACGUAAAUGUUUUCCGGACAAAAGAUAACCAUCAGAGACCCUAAUAAAAUAACAGAACCCUUAUGUCCUAUGUAUUAUGUAUCCAAAUGCCAUAGAAACAUAGAUCACAUCAAUCGUACGACUCCAAAAUGCUUGGUCAAAACAAAAAAACGAAUGCAUAGAGAUAAAAAAGAAGUAAACUCUGGUUUGUGUUAGCAAAUCGGUUUAGACCAAAUAGCGAACGAAAAGAUAUGGGAGUCUAUUUAAAGGGGAAAAAAAAUAUGAUUAAUUAAUUAUUAAUCGAGAGAACAAUUAAUAGCGAACUAUUCAAGAUACAUUGGAGCGUCUUCAAUAACAUUCACCCGAUAUAAAAAUAAAAUAAAAUCCCAAUAUAAUAAUAUAAGAUAAGCCCGAAGACUUCAUCUUCUCUAAAAUUAAAGAACAACAACGAGAGCCAUUAUCAAAGCCCAUCAGAGGGAACGCUUUGUUAGUUGGAUCACAAACUCAGAUCGAUAGAUGGUAAUAUUAGCAAAUAAACUACAAAUCCGUCCUUCGUAAGAGGAGCAAAUCAAAAUAAUUGAUGGUUCGUUUGGACGGAGAGAUUAAAAAAAAAAAAAAAAAAGAUUAGUCCAUUUCCAAAACCUUUUUAAAGAAUGGGUUCAUUCGAAUACCUUAAUAAGAGAGGGAGAUCGGUAGCAAGAAGGCAAAGAGGCGAAAAGGUUCAAAGAAAGGAGCAACGAAGCGAUCGGGGUUUAAUGAAGGAAAAACUUCAAAAGGCCCCCUGUGGUUCCUCUCUUUUUUAUUUAGUACUUUAUGGUUUAAAGUGUAUCAAAUUAGUACCAUGUGGUUUCUCAUUUUAUCACUUUAGUAUCCUGUGGUUAAAAUUUAUCAAGUUAGUACUCUGUAUUUUUACUUUUGUAUCAAGUUAGUACCAUGUGGUUUAAAAGGUUUUAAAUCAUAUGGUACUAAAAUGAUAAGGUACGAAACUACAGCGUACUAACUUGAUACAUUUUAAACCACAGGAUAUUAAAGUAAAAAAUGCAAAACCAUAAAGUACUAACUUGAUACACUUUAAACCCCAGGGUCCUAAGAUGAGAAAAAAUAAAACCACAAUAGAGUUAUUUGAAGUUUUUCUUUAAUGAAAGGAAAAUGCUAAAUUAGACUUUUUGUCCCGAAACUAUUGGGUAUACUACUUUUGGUCUUCAAAAUUUUAAUUCACGAUCACUUUUUGCAGGAACUUUUUAAAUUAUUAAAAUUAAGUAGCAUAAUUUUUCUUAAAACAUAUAAUUUGACUAGCAUAGCUUUAAUUUAAUUGACUAAUAAGGUGAGGUAUUAAUUAUUAUCUUAUCUUCAAUCACAAAAAUAUUACAUCAAUUUUGCAUCAGCAUAAUAUAAGCAUGAUUUUAAAAAAAAUAGAAUUAAUUUCAUCACGAUCCUUCCAUCCGCCCUAGUAACAUAGCAACCUUCCAAAAAAUGUCAAUAUCAAAAAUAAAAAAUGCCCUUUAAAUUAUAAAAUUAUUAAAACCAUUCAUAGUACUCAUAUUCUAUUAAAAAUAUAGUUUAAAUAUCUAUUUUACUCCUCUCACACUUACAAAUAUUGUAAUACAUAAUUUAUGAUUAAGAUAGUAUGUAUUUAUUAUUUGUAUUUUUCUAGUUUAAUUUAAUUAUUUUAAUAUAUCUUUAUUUUGACUAAUAUAGUAUGUCUUUAUCUUGUUUUUUUUAAUUAGUAUAUAUUCAUUUUAUUUGUUUAAUUACGAAUGGAAGAAUUAUAUUUCUUUUAAUUUAGUAUACUUUUUUACUUCAGAUUUUAUACUUAGCUAAGCUCAAAAUUAUAUUAAAUUUAAUAAUUUAUUAGUAAUCAACUGUUAAUAACUCUAGGUUUAUUUGCAUAAAAUUAAUUAAUUAAAAUUAUUAAAUGAGAUAAAAUUUUAAUGAAUUUGAUAAAAUUAUUAAAUGAGAUAAAAUUUUAAUGAAUUAAUUAAAAUUAUUAAAUGAGAUAAAAUUUUAAUUUUGACAUAUCUCUUAUGCAAAUAUAGAGGUUAUUAUUUCAUACACUCGUAUACCAGGUGCAAGCAAUAGUUUCCUAGAGAGGAUGGAAAAGCAUAGAGAAAGGAGAAAUUAUUGCUUGCACCUAUUUGGUUUCAUGCAAUUUUAAUUUCCCUACAAUUGCUAAUGCACGACUCAAUUUUUGUAUCUGGUUUAGUGGAGUUGAGUGGAGCUAUGAAGUUAUAUUGUAUUGUAACAUUACUUAGUAUCUUUUUUCUGUUAGUUAGGGGAGUCCUCAAGCUACAUUUUAGACCUUCCAAGUAUGCAGUUGAUAAUACUUUGCUAAUUUGAUCGUUUCCUAAUAUUAGUCUAAUAAAAUUUUAUGAAUGAUUUUCUUUAGCACCGGUUAUAGUUUCAUUUUAGACAUUUUUUUAGCUGUUUUUAAAUUUAAAUUUUCUACUUUUUUAAAAUUUACUGCUUCUUUUAUCACUUCUCAUUAUAAUGCAGUACCUUCUAACAAGAAUCAAGGUANAAUCAACUGUUAAUAACUGUAGGUUUAUUUGCAUAAAAUUAAUUAAUUAAAAUUAUUAAAUGAGAUAAAAUUUUAAUUUUGACAUAUCUCUUAUGCAAAUAUAGAGGUUAUUAUUUCAUACACUCGUAUACCAGGUGCAAGCAAUAGUUUCCUAGAGAGGAUGGAAAAGUAUAGAGAAAGAGAAAGGAGAAAUUAUUACUUGCACCUAUUUGGUUUCAUGCAAUUUUAAUUUCCCUACAAUUGCAAAUGCACGACUCAAUUUUUGUAUCUGGUUUAGUGCAGUUGAGUGGAGCUAUGAAGUUAUAUUGUAUUGUAACAUUACUUGGUAUCUUUUUUCUGUUUUUUCUGUUAGUUAGGGGAGUCCUCAAGCUACAUUUUAGACCUUCCAAGUAUGCAGUUGAUAAUACUUUGCUAAUUAGAUCGUUUCCUAAUAUUAGUCUAAUAAAAUCUUAUGAAUGAUUUUCUUUAGCAUCGCUUGUAGUUUCAUUUUAGACAUUUUUUUAGCUGUUUUCAAAUUUAAAAUUUCUACUUUUUUAAAAUUUACUGCUUCUUUUAUAACUCUCAUUAUAAUGCAGUACCUUCUAACAAGAAUUAAGGUAAAAGAAAAAUAAAUGGUUACAAAUCAAUUAAAAACAUAAAGCGGUUAGUUAUUUUGUAUCAGUUCAAACUGGAGGGUUUAAUUGCAAAAUUCGGAAAUCAAUCACAAGGAAGCGAAAUAAAAUUGGGCCUGUUUGUCAAAAUUUCAUAACGUUGGGCUUGUCCAAGAUAGUAAGUUGAAUUGGACCCAAAUAGGAGAGAGUGAGCCCCACAAGGUGGUUCCCACCCCCAUCAUGUCACUUUGUCUGUUAUUGACCCAACACGUCACUGAAACCCCUAUUGGACAAAAUAAAUCUAUCCGUCAACCCUAUCCUUUCGGGCCCACUAAUCCUACGAUCCCGGUGUCACCAUCAGUCCCCUCUACUUGAAUCAUAGCCGUCCAUCAACCGACCACUCAUCAAAAACUGAAGCAAAAACAACCCCCCAUUAUUAUUGUUAUUAUUAUAAUGGAACGUUUGUUUAUUUUGGACUCGCACAGACUUGUAGUCAAAAUAGAGAUUUAAAAUAUAAUUAAAUUCAAUGAAAAUUUUGACGAAUUUACCUAGUUUAGGUAAAAGAAAAUAUAAAACAUAUUUGAAGUAUGACCGGUUUAAAUUAACUGUAAAAUUUUUUAAAGUUACUUUUACUGUCUAAUAUUUUAGUUUGUUUGAAUUGAUUCAACUAAACGAUCUUUGAGUUUAAAAUUUAAGCUAAUUACUUUUUAUCUUAAAAAUUUAUAGUUUAAGAAUCGCGUGAAGUAUAUAAAGUAAAUUCUAUAAAAAAUAAAAAUUACACAUAAAUUUUAAAAUUAAAAUAAUAUUUAUAAUUCAAAUUAAACAAAUUAAAAAAUUGAAUAGUGCAUCAAAAUGUUGAAAAAAUCAAGUUAUGGACGUGUUUGUAAAUUUCUGCAAAGUCGGGCGGUGGCAGCACAUAUUUUGCACCAAACGCGAAGUAAGGGUGUAAAAGAGAUUUUGGGUGGGGGUUUGACUUUGGUGGGAGGAGUUUGGGGGGUUCGGUCACCUCCCCUUCUCCACGCCUGGCCGACCGACACGUGGCGGUGGCUCGGGAGGCGAAUUCUCUGGCGGGUGAUCGGUUUCUGUCCCCUCGCGCAGUUAAAGUCCCGCAUUUACCCCGUACGGUAAAACCCAGUAAUUAAUUACCCCAGUAAUGGCGCGUCGAGGAGAGAGAAAGCGAAAGAGAAAGAGCAAGUCUCCCCAAAGAAAUAGUGUUAGAGAGAGAGAGAGAGGGAGAGAGGGAGAGAAAUAGAACGCUCCUCUCUCUCUUCUAGUCCAUGGGACUAGUGUCUUCUUGAGUUGGGUGUGAGUGUGAGAGAGAAGCGAUUGCAAAGGAGGAGGAGAAGAAGAAGAGCGAGUUCUCUUUCUCUCCCAUAUUUUCUCUCAAUACUACCAACCCCACCCACAGUGGUACGCUAUUAUUUUCUCACGAUUGUUUUUUGAAUUUUUUUAAAAAAUUUUAUCUGAUGAUCGAUUUGCUCAUCUGAUUUUUAGUACACGGUAAAAAUGUAUGGGGAUUGCCAAGUGAUGUCGUCGAUGGUGGGAGGAGGCGGGGGAGGGAACGUGGUGUCCCCCGACUCCCUCUUCUCCUCGCCGAUCCGAAACCCUAGCUUGGGUUUUAUGACCAAUAUGCCCUUCCACGCCUUCUCCGCUGCUCUAGUACCUGUGAGUACGCGAUCCCUCCGUAUCUCUCCCUAUCCCCUCCCCUUCCUAUUUUUAGUAAGCGUUUUCCUUUUUCCGGCACUAAAAAUCUUAAGCGCGAGAUGUGAUGGUGCCCGUCCCUGUUCGUUUUCGUUUUUUUUUUUUUUUGUUUUGUUGUGGGGGGGCGAAGAAGGAGGAGGGGGUGAUGGUGAUGGGGAGGGGCGGAGCGGCGAAGGAGGAGGAGGUCGAGAGCGGCGGCUCCGGUAGCGGACACUUGGACGGCCUCGGAUCCGGCAGCGGACACGUGGACGGCCUCAGUUGCGGGGAGGAGCACGAUAACGAACACCAGAAGCUGCAGCAGCAGCACCAGCAGCAGCAGCAGCAAACGCCGUCGGGGAGUGCGAAGAAGAAGCGUUACCACCGCCACACCGCGCACCAGAUUCAAGAAAUGGAAACGUGAGAUUAUCAUCACAGUACUCCUGUUCCAUACUAUUAAUAUUUUAAAACAAGAAAAAAAAAUGAUUUUCGUUAUAUUUGUAUUUAACAAAAAUAAAUAAAUGUAAUCGAGUUCGAGAGGUAUUUUUGUUUAAUAAUAAUAAUAAUUUUGUUAAUAAAAUAAUUAAUCAGGUUGUUUAAGGAAUGUCCGCACCCGGACGACAAGCAGCGGCUGAAGCUGAGCCAGGAACUCGGCCUGAAACCCCGUCAAGUCAAAUUCUGGUUCCAGAACCGCCGCACCCAGAUGAAGGUGCGCACGUUAGCCCUACCUCUCCUGCCUUCUCUACUAUGCACACUCCCAUUGUAUCAACCAAAAAAAAUCAAAAAAAAAAAAAGAAGGUAAAAAUAUUUUGAUGCUGCUGUGGUGUUGUUGGACGGAUUAGGCGCAACAAGAUCGGGCGGACAACGUAGUACUGCGGGCGGAGAAUGACAGCUUGAAGAACGAGAAUUUUCGCUUNCCAAUUCUUAUAUACCAUGCAUGUAUGCAUGGCCACGUGGAAUGCAUGCAGGCGUCAAGCAACUCGUCGCAGAACGUGGAACUCCUGCUGCAAGAGAGCAACACCCACCCCUCCGGCGGCAGCCUUGUGGUGUACGCCACCGUCGACGUCGGUGCCGUCCAGGUUGCGAUGAGCGGCGAGGACCCCUCCUACAUCCCCCUCCUCCCCAUGGGCUUCGUCCUCUCCCCAUCUCCUCCGCCGCCAUCGCGAACCUCCUCCGCCACCCCCGAAGGUGAUGGCAGCGGUGCUUCCGCCGCCACCGCUGCUGCUGUUGCCCCGGGAUGCCUCCUAACUAUCAGCAUGCAGGUGCUGGCGAGUGCAGUCCCAUCAGCGAAACUGAACCUCUCGAGUGUGACAGCCGUCAACCACCACCUCUGCAAUGCAGUUCGCCAGAUUAGCGCCGCCCUCGGCGGGCCGCCUCAGCCAGAACCGGCCGGGACGGCGGCGCCGCCUGACCCGUGAGGGGAAGCAGAAAGGUGGUGGAGUUAACUGCUAUACUGCCUGGUGCAAUCCGUCUAUACCGAUCGAUAUUCCCAAAAUGCCCCCCCAACACCUCUGCUUUUCACAUAUAUAUUAUAAUUGUUGAGUAUUUAGUAACUAAAAUCUCUAGAUUAUUUUUUGUACAGGAGCAAGAGAGAAUUUGACAAGGGCCCAUGCAGAGCCGCAAAAUGACCAAAAUACCCUUAUCGAGUCAGGGGCAUUUUGGUUAUCUUAUAUUUUGUGUACGCGUGUAUAGUCCAUGGGCGUUGUCAAGUUUUCACUUGCUCCGAGCUUUUACUCUAUUUGCAAUUCAUAAUCAAAUUUGCGAAGGGCAUUUUGGUCAUGUUGGUGCGGCAUUGAUGGGAUCCGGGCAAUCUCCACCUACCCACUGCCAUCUAAGAUAUGCUUCCCAGUGAAUUAAACAUGUUGAAGGCCGGCUGGCUAGUUAUUAAUAUAUGUAAUAAGAUCAAGAGCGAUGAAUUAAUUGUGUUGUGUUGUGUAGUGUGAUGUAGUGGUUGGGGGAAUGUUGUGAAAUUAGGGUUUGUUGGAGGAGGGGAGUCAAGAGCGCACCAGGUGUGACCCUGAAUGCUCUCCCCCUUUUUUAAGGCCCAAAAUUUGAAAAGAGGAAGCCCAAAAUGGCUUCUGGGCCUUAAAAAAAAAGCGGGGAGUGGGAAAGGAGAAGGGUGUUGGUUCGGGUAUUGACUUCCUUCUUGCGUUACUUUAAACAUGUUGUUGGUCUCCUUUGUUGUUUUGCAUAAUUUUAUUAGCUUAAUUUGGCGUGUUUGUGUACGUAAUGUAACUCUUCGUUUUAGCUUGGUCUCCUUUUGGGAGCGCGCGCGCGCCUUUUUGUUCGCAGCGGGGUUGGUUGGGUGGAGUUAAUGCUUUUUAUGACCGUAUUUAUGACUUUGAGCUUUUAAUGUCCAAUCCUCCUUUUUAUGUUCGUUUCUACUUUCAUGCAGGGGCGUCGAAUUGGCCGAGCCAUGUUCUGUAAUUGAUGGUUUGGGUCCUUGGAAGUACCACCUCCACUGUUGUCAUUUUCCGAAAUCUUGAAAGUAUAUUAAAUUUUCUUCUUGACAGUGCUAGGCGAAUGUGAAUGAGAUUUUUUUAAAACUGAAUUUUCCGAACCCCAGGUGACUGAGCGACUCCAGGUAGAAUAUGUAACUCGUGAAUUUUAUGAAGCUAUUUGGAAUGAUAAAUAUCUCAUCAAAGACUAUGAUAAAUAUGAGCUGAAGUUAUGUAACAAUUUUUUUUUUUUUUUAUUAUCGUAUUUUCAUACAGUAUGAAAAAUUUCGUUUGAAUAUUAUUAUUUCUGCUGGACGAUAGUUUUCUCAUCAAAAUGAAGGUCAAAUCCCUCCCCUUGAUUCGGCUGGCUGGAUAAUAUAGAGAGAUUAAGGAACCCUCCCUCCUCCCAUGCUUAGGCUAUCCGAUCCACCGUUCGUCAUUAGUGCUCUAAUGUUAAAUCAUCUUGAGUGGUGAAUUAGACCAGUGCUGCUAAGGCUUAGUUUGGUAUUAAGGCCUAUGUAACGCUAUUAGAUAAAAUGAAAUUGUUGAAAAAGCAUAUAGGGAUAUGUUAUUGCGUUCUCCGGUGGGACUGCACCCCUGCGGAACGGAAUAUUACGUAUGGAAACAAACAGUAUAUUUUUUCAACGUACUUUCUCACCGAACUAACGCAAUCUCUCCGCAAUCCCAAACGAAGCCUAAGCUAGGGUCAGAGUCACAUCUGGGCCCUUUCUAUAUUUUGGGCCAGGUUGGGCCUGAUCUGAUCCACUGUACAUUGUCUGAAAGAACGAGCGGCCCAAAACCAUGAUAGUCCGAUGGGCCCAGACCAUUUGUUGGUGCUAUGUGGGACUCGGGCUUUUGGAUCUAGGACGGCAACAACUUGUCCUAGAUGGGCCCCCGAUUGACGCAACAGCCUAAUUGUAGACGGCCUACUAAAUGGAUAUGCUCGCCCGAAACAUAUGAGUACGCUGUUAAAAUCAAAGGUUAAUUUGAUUUCUAGAGGUCUUUUACUCGCAGUGUGAUUUUGCAAUACAUAUAACGAUAUCAUUGAACUGGUCAUGUACAAAUGCUGAAAACGGCAAAAGCAAGCUCAUGGAAAUUGGAAAACCAACUUGGAAAGAUGACACCAUUAUAUCACUGUACAUUAUCCGGACAUUAAAAUAUAGGCCUGGAAAGAUUAUUAAACAGCUAGUUAAGGUCAGUGCAAGCUAAUCAACAAUAAUAACAACACAAAAAAAAAAAAAAUAAAAUAAAAAACAGAAGCACUGCUCAACAUGUUUCUACUUCUCCGAUAGAGAAGUUACAUUAGGGAUGUGGCUUAGUAGAGCUUGAAAUAAUAAAUGAUACUGUAAAAACAUACUCCAAUCAAUCAAGCAGUAACUAUUAUAGAAAAUCUGAUAAACUAAGCAAUGCUGCAGAACACUUUUACAAUUUUUACUCGCAUUUUCUGUAUCAAAUGAUAAAUUAAAGUUUUUAUUUAACGAAGUUUGCGGAUUUUAACCUGUAACAAUUCCAAUCCAGUUUCACCACCCUAAAAUUGAAUUAUACACAGCUGAUCAAAGAAAGAGACGGAAAUGAAGCCUGACGCCUUCAGAAGACCGGGCAGCCAUCCACAAUGACCCCUUUGGCCGUGGGACACGUCGCGAGGUCGCAGUGCUCGCCGGCGGUCCCCCACCAGUUGAGGCUCUUGUUCUCCAUCGUCACCGCAAAGUAGAGCAGCACCCCCAUCAUCGCCACCCCCGCGUCCAGCCCUGCCGACAGGACGUAGUUAUACCUCUGCCACCACUUCUUCCGGUACCUGUACACGAAGAAGUUGAACACCGUCCCGACCGCCGCCCACGACGUGUAGUUUACUGCAGUAGCCGGCGGCAUAUUGGCAGUUGCACCAAGAAGCACGGGGAGGUUUAUCAGGGGGAUCCACGAUUGCGCGGGGAAGAUCCUGUGGAAGGCCCAGACGAUGACCGGGCCGACAGCACCGCCGAGGAAGAACCAAUUGAGCGCGCCGUAAUUGCCCAGCGGGCCGAAGAUGCGGCGCGGGCCCACCAGGCCCCAGAUGACGGACGCGUCGAAGAAGACGCGGUCGCUGGGGCACGUCCACGGGCUGUUUGGCGGGAGGAGGUCCCUCUGGCAGAUGUCGGUGAUCGAGCCCAGGAGCCACCAUGCCACGCCUAUGUUGAUUGUACCGGCGACCACCGUGCCGACGGCCUGAAUUAAGCGGCGGCGAGAGUUUAGCCAUUUUCAUCACACAAAUAAAAGUUAGAAUCGCAAACUACGCUUUUCAGUUACAUGCAUACAUGUACGUAGGCUAGCAGAAUCAGUUAAACAUAUUUGCAACUCGCAAGAAAUCGAUCUACUUGAAAACAGACAAUCAAUAUAGUAAAAUUUAAUGGUUAAGUUGUAGCGCCAGAAAGUGUACCGCAUUUUAAGUUGAUUGAUCAAGUAGGAUGAUUUGAGAAUACUACCUGAACUAGGAACAUGGAUUUGGGCGGGAUCUUCAUGUAAUGGCCGAGCUUGAAAUCGGAAAGGAAGGCGACGGCCUGCGCCAUGCUCAUGUAACCGUAGACCUUGAAGCACACGUUGGCGAUCGGCUUUCCCGGCAGGAUCAGACCCAUGCAGUAUUCUGUGAUAAUAUUCAGUCCCGGAGUCUUUGUUUUUCAUUCAGAAAAAGAAAGAAAAAAAAAAACAAAUCAGGAUGAUUAUCAUGUACCAAAUAAAUAAAUUUAUGUCUCUAAAAAUUGAAGUAUGAAAUGAAAUAGAUUAUUUGUACCUGGUUGGUAGUUGCAGUGAUGAUGCUGAUGGGGAGAGUGAACACAAAGGCCAUGGCGCAAGCAAAGAGGAGGCCCCACCAUGGAAGUUGAAUUUGGUCCUUCAACACAGUGCACAGAAUCAGGGAGAUCACAACUGUCACCAGCAGCAGUAAAUAGAACCACCAGCUGGGUAUGUCUUCAUACUUCCUCAUUAACCUCGUGUGGAUGUCCACUUUUCCUUUAUUAUACGAAGCUCGGUACCGAUUGUAUAUUUCUCUGGAAAAGUUUCGCUUUAGAUCGUGAGUGACAUAACUUACUCGAAUCUCUUAAAAAAGUAAAAUAGUUCUUGCUGAGGAAUAAGAGGAUUACAUCUUUGGGCCGAAUGAUUUUGCAAUUGCACUUUGUGACAAUCGCAUGUUUCUCUAAGAAAAUUGGUAUUUUUUGGGACCUAAAUCUCAGAAUUCAACUAAAAUGGCUCCGGCAAUCAAAAUGGUACUAGUUUGCACCGAUUUUACAUUGCAUUGCUCUAUUCUACGUGGAACAUAGCUUCCAAUGUGUGCGUACAUAGAGAGACAGAGCGGCAAUUUGGCAGAGUAACGUGAGAUAGGUACAGUCACAUAAAAUCAGAGCAUGUAGUAUAGUAGUAGGUUAUUACCUUCCAUAGAACAAAGCAACAUGAGUUAGCGUAGCCGCAAUGGUCGCGAAUCCGAGGCCGUAGGUUAUAGCAAAGAACAAACUCAGGUUUAUCCUCCCCUGCUUACCGUACGCAGUCAUGUCGAUCUCAAACUUGUUGUUGACGAUGGCGUUGAUAUCAUACGGCUGGCCAGCAGCCGUGAACAAAUCCGAGGAGAAAAUUGGGAAAGUCUUUGCAUUGUAGAGGUUGAACCCCCAGUAUGCCACCGGCAUGACUACGUAGAGGAUCAAGAGAUAGCCGACGAAGAUAUUGACGAUGGCGAAGAAGGGGGUGAUUAACGGGCUGAAGAGGUAGGAGGCGACGGUGCUCCAGUCGAGGGUGAAAGCACCGAUGCCGAGCCCGUUCAUGCCGGAGCCAAGCUGUUGCGCCGUUACGGACUUGGGCCAGGCCCAGCAGACCCACGAGAUGCUCGUAAUGGUCGGGAAGAGGUAGCCCGGAACGACGUACCACGAGAAGCUGCAGAUCAGAACGAUGACGAAGAAUUUGGCCCGAGACAUGCGGCGGUCUUCUUUCUCGUGUAAAGCCCUGCAGAUGAAGUGAUCAUCGUUAUCCAUAACAUAAUUUGUAUGUCAUGAGCAUUCCAGAAAUAAAGGAGGUCCGAAUUGUUCGUAUAUUUCCUCCGUUUUGUUUUAGGUAGAAUUGUUAGUAUUCACGCAGUUGGUAACUUGGUAUGAACAAUUGGAAAACAAAAAUAUGAAAAUAUUAGAGAAAAAAGAGAGAAACAAUAGAGAAUUUCUCUUAAAAAUAUAGAAAAUUUUCAAUGCAUGUGUUUAACUAUUAAGAUUCUUCCUCAGUGACCUUAGAAGUGUUUACCAAUGUUGUACCCAGAAUCUGUAGCAAAUUAAGGUAGAACGUAAAGAGGACUAUGGCUGGUGUGGCGGAAAAGUAAGUAAAUAAAUGCCUGUUAAAAGUGAAAAUUUAAAAAAUUUAAGACACCCAAAUAAAUUAGGUACGUAACAAGUCAAUUGUCAUAUGAUUAAGAUCUUUCGCCAGUAAAUUACUACAGAAGCAAAGUCAAACAUUUAUUUAGUACAUUGAAGAAUUAAAAGGUGCCAUCCAGAAAGUGACAGGGAAUUAAUGCUGAGUAGGGACAUUUAUACGUAGCAAAAUCCUCUCCUUAUAGGAGCCCUAUAAGAAUCUUCAAUCGAUGCAAAUGGUCCACAAAUUCCGGCGAAUGGACACAAUCAAGGAGGAGAGAAAAAAUGCAAAUUUUUUUGCAACACUGACUCUCAAAAUGCUUUAGCUAAUUUUAUGGAUUUGAAUUAUGUUUUGCUUUGUGAGGCCGCAAUGAGGCACUAAUCCUCCAAGGAAUUCAACAAAUCAUGACAAUGGAGAAACUAUUCCCAGUUUGAAAGGUCGAUGUAGCGCGUAGAUUCUAUAGAAAAGCCACAAUUAGGUGGCCCUUCUAAAGCAUUAAUUUCACACGUACCAUCUCCACGGGUUCUGGAGACUCAUAUUACAAGAAUUUUGUAACGCAGUUAUUACACAUGGAUGCAAGUUAAAUCAAACAACAACUAUGCAUCUUAAUCAAGGAGUAGAUAUGAACUGUACUCUCUUAAGCAGAAGAAGUAUAAUAAUUGUGAUAGCCAAAGAAAUGAAGAGAACGUACGUAAUGCUUUAAAAAGUUGCACGACAAAGCGAUGGCCGAACAAAAAGCUUUUUCCUUCUACGUUGUAAAGAUAGGAAGAGAAAUACUUUACAUAAAGUUUGGUGGAAAUAUACACAGCAACAAUUCUGAGUUGGAUAAACCAAACGUACAGCUUUUGUCACGUUGCUCAAAAAGCCAGCACAAUUCUUCUCGCGUUUUUUUUAAGUAAAAAAAGCGCAAAACUUUUAUCUGUGUCGAUGAUUUGUUUGUCGUGAAAAAAUCUAUAUACGGUGGGGGUUGUGCGGUUUGGUUUUCUUUUUUUUUUUUUGUUUUUUUUUGUUUCUCUCUCUCCUCUCUCUCUCUCUCUCUCUCACAGAGGUAGCGGGGUUAGGCUUUCAUUUUUCUAAUUUAAUCUAAUUUUUUCCCUCAAUUUUUCAUUAUAAAAUUUUUUUAUAUAAUUUAUAUUGUUUAUAUAUAAAUUUUAAUUUUAUAACUGAGCACUUAAAAGAUGAAAAAAAUUGAUGAAGUUGAACUUAACUACUUAUAUUAAUAAUUGAUAAUUACGAGAAUUAUAUAAAGUGUACUAAAUCUAUAAAGAUAAACGACGCAUUCAAAUUAAUCAAAUCAAACAAAUUGAAAGUUGGAUAGUAAAAAUAAAAUUUUGAAUCGAUUCAAAAUGAUCCAUGGUUUAGAAAAAUUUUAUAUGCUUUUAUGUUGAUUUUAGUUUCAAAUUUCAAAGUUAUAUUUAUAAUUUGAUGAGCAAUUAACUUUACCUUCAGAAUCUUCCGAAAUAUUUAAAAUGUGGUUGUUCGACUUUUAAUUUUUAAUAAUUAAGCUUUCUAAAUUUUAUUAAACAAUUUAAAAGAUUCUUUCCUUGAAUGAAGUUACUAAUUAAAUAAAAAUAAAAUUAAUUGGUGCUCCGCCCUUACUUCAUAUGGAAAAAAAAAAAUAAAAUACAAAAAGAAUAAAUUAUAUAUUUAGUUCAAACUAUAGGAUAUGUAACACUUAGCCUCCGUUUGGUUCGGGGUUAAGGAAAAAGUAGCUAUUCCAGGGAUAGAGUUAAGUUCAGAGUUAAAGUGGGGUUAAAAUUUUUUUGUGUUUGGUUGGGGGUUGGAGUUAGACUAGAAUAAUGAAAAAUAGUGUUUGGUUGGGUAGGUGGGAUAAAAAGAUAAUGAUUGAUAAAGAAGGAUAAUGAUUGGUUGGAGUAGGUGUGAUAAGAAAGAUAGUGGAUUAUUAUGAAUAAAAAAUAGUGUUUGGUUGGAGUUUGGUGGGGUUAAGUGGGGUUAGCUAAUCCGGGAUAAUUUAUUUGAGGUGAGGUUAGGUGGAGUUAGCUAACCCCACCUAUUUUUUGAAGUGUUUGGGGAUAAAAUAGGGGUUAAGGGGUUAUUCCAUCCCUUAACCCCCAACCAAACAAUGGCUUAGUUCUCAAAUCUGAAUGCAUUAUAAUUUUUGGUUCAAACUAUUAGAUUCAGCACUUUACUUCUCAAACUUCAAUUAAUUCUACUGAGCAAACGCUACGGCAGCAACAGAAGCAGCAACAACAAAAAGGGAAAAAUUAAGGAUAGCUUUGAGAGUUAACUAACCGGAAGAGCGAGACCUGCACGAGGUUACUCGGCCACCACAUGUGCGCCGGCUCCACCACGUACUUCCUCAUCAACCCGGCCCACCCGUAACCCAACACCUAAAAUCCAUAUCCCCACAAUCACAAUGCGCGCAUAUAAUUAAUUAAAUAAUAAUAACAAUAAUUAUAAUACUUAAUAUAUAUAAUUAAGGAGAAAACCAGGCAAUGGAGCGAGCGAGCACCUGUGUGGUGAUGAUGAGAAGCCAACCGGCGGCGAACGAGAUCUUGCGCUUGUAGAAGGCCCUGAUGAUGUCGAUGAUGCCGACGGCGUAGGCCGGGCCGUUGCCGAAGGCGUAGCCGGCGUUGGCGAAGAUGGAGAUGAGGACGUGCUCCUUCAUGUUGAAGGGCCCCGGAUUCAGCGAGAACUGCCGGUCGCCGAACCCCGGGAUGCGGAACUUGCGAGUGGGGAGGACGUUGGCCAGGAAUCGGCCGACGGGGAGGGAGGCGACCUGGACGGUGAUCUGCGUGAUCACGAGGGGCUCGGUGCGGUAGGCGAAGAACUGGUUCAGGAACGACAUGAGGGCGCAGGAGACGACGCCGAUGGACCACAUGCGGAAGGUCCACACGGGGAGGGACGGGUCGUCGGUGUUCGCCACCGUCAGCCGCACCUGCUCGAUCGGCGAGAGCUCCUCCUCCUCCUUCUCCUUCUCCUUCUCCUUCUCCUCCUGCUCGACGACGUCGAAGGAGGCGACCGCACGGCAGGGUCGGCGGUCGCCAUUGGGGCUCUACUGCGACUAAUGCUUGUGCUUGGUAAUUAAAUUGGGUGCUGAUCGGGAAUAGCAAUGAUGAAGAGGGAGGAGGAUAUGCUGUUGCGGGAUACGAGGGAGGCAGUUAUAAUUGGCGGGGAGAAGGGGAAUCUCGCGUUGUUAAAAUUACGAGAAUGCCCCUGUGGGAAUAUCUUCGGGGGAAUGGCGUAGCGUAUCGGGACGGUGUUUUUCAGAGCGGCCGCGGAGUGAACGGUUUGAUGCGCCGUCGCCCGUCGACUAAGGAGAAGCGAUCGAGUUUUUCUACUAAUAUAAUAAAAUAUAAUAUAAUAAUAAUAUAAUAAUAUAAUAUAUAAGGCUGUUUUGGUAAUAAGUUAAAAGAGUAUUCUGAAGUGAUGUAUACUAUGCAAAUAAAGUUUAGAAAUUUAAAUCUGGUUUUCAAACUGUUUAAAUUAACGAGCGUCUGCGAGAUACUAAGUCCGGAAAGAUACAUUAAUGUUGCAAUUUCCUUCGGCGGAGACUCUUAAUAAAGUAAAAAUCUACGUAUAUUAUUCUUUUGUUUGAGAGCUGGUUUUAUUUUUACUGGAUUUCAAAUUUGAAAACUCGACUUGGCUACUGAUCAUAUAGUAUUUUGCCAUUUGAGUAUCCAUUUUUCUAAAAAAUAACUUAUAUCGAUAUUUAAUAUGCUGAUAUUUUAUUUUAAAAAAUAACUGAUUGAAGAUGCACUACAAGAUACACAGAUAAAACCAAAAUUUCUAAAAAAUAAGUUAUAUAGAUAUUUAAUUUGCUGAUAUUUUUAUUAAAACAAAUAACUGAUUUAAGAUGUAUACUACAAGAUACUCAAGAUAAAAUCAAAACUAAUAAAAUCCAACUAGACCGACCGUUUCUAGAAUAAGUGGUAAAGGACUUGGUGGUUGGUACCCGAGACCCAAGUUCAAAUCCUAGUUGAUUCAUAUUUUCAGCUACGUUUAAUUAUAAAUAAAAUAAAUGAAGGGAUAACGUGCUACCUAUCUCUAAAAAAAUAAAAUAAAAUAAAAUAAAAUCCAACUAGCAAGGUGAUAAAGUAAUCCUGUUAAAAACUACAACCAGCCACAGCAGCCCUUUUGGCCAGCGUUAGACGGUGGUACUCGGUUUUCCGGAUUCAAAUCCUAGUGUGAGCAAAUAAAAAAAAAAACUACUAAAGGAUUUUAGCUUCAUGCCUUAGAAAAAAGUAAAAGAGCUGUUGAAAAUUAAUUUGUAGUGUUACCAAUCCAGUUCAGUAUAAACUGAAAAGAUACUUUAUACAUAUUGCAUGUUUAGCACUUCACCGCUAGGCUUAGGCUAAAACGAUCCUUCGUCAUUGAUCUUUGAACCACUCUCUCGACUGUGCUAUGUUUCUAACCAUAUAAUUGUAAAUUAGGGGCAGAGCCAAAACUCAUAUGCAGGAUUGGCACACUUGAUGAUUGACAAAAUUUUAAAAUUAUAUUAAAAUUAUUAUUUUGUUCUAUAAUUUAACUACGAGAAAAAAAAAAAAAAGUACAAGUUUCUUUUCUCACUCACUGGUUAGCUAAAACAUUAUAUUUUCAAACAAUUUUAAUUAGGGAGGACACUAAAUAAUAAUUUAUAAUACUUUUUCUUCACCGAUUAGAAGAACAUGCAUAAAAAAACUUCAAGCUAAACCCUCCUGCUUCUCGCCCCUGUUGUAAACUGCUGGCGCACUGUAGGCUUAUCAUGCAAAAAAUAUUCACCUUUGUUUUGAAUUUUUUUUUUUACAAAAAAGAUAACACACUACCCGCUUCAUUCAUUUAGCAAAUAAAUUUGACUACAAGAGUUGAGGCAAUGUGGCCUCGAAAAAUAUUAAAGGUAAACAAAACAGAAAAUACAAAUAAAAGCAAACAGAAAAAGUCGUAGAAAAAUUACUACUUCUACUUGUCACUCAAGAUCAAAUAACUAAAAGCUGCAAAACUCAACCCAUUUUUAAAAAUAUUAGAUAUCGCUACACGGUUUCCCAUUCUUCUUUUCCUAAUAAUAGAUAGAUGCGAUUAAUUGUAGAUCAUAUUGCCAGGGGCCCCAGCGUAGAAUAUGCAUGAACUAUACAUAUACUGAAGUCUCUGAAUGUGAACAUACAUGUGAAUAUGAAAAGAAAAAAAAAGGGUGGAUGGAUGAAGUCAAUAAUGCCCAGUUUUGAAAAAGAAAUGCCGGACAGAUAAUUAAUAAAGCCACAUUGUAAACGCCCACACUGCUGGCAGGCGCCGUCGGGGGAAAGACAGCGACAGGAAAAAUGUCCCAUUUCAAGCUAGAUUAAUAUUCUAUGAGAAAUACCGUUCGUCACUUUGAGUCAGUGGCAAAAAAUUUAGUGGUUAAUAUUCGAGUUCUUGAAUUUAAAUCAUAAUUGAUUCAUAUUUCAAACUAAAUUUAUUUUUAAAUAAAAUAAAUAAAUUGGAUAACUUUCUACCUAAUCUCUUAAAAAAAUAUUUCUAUGAGAAAUUGUUUGGAAUAAUUUUAAGCCUUGGACUAGUUAGAAAUUACAAUGGAUCAUCUAUUAAAAGGCCAAAGGUUUUCAAAUUUUUCUUCCAGAAUUAAAAGGCCAAAAGUUUUUUUUAUUUUUUGAAAGAGAUAGGUAGCACGCUAUCCGCACCGUUUAUUUCAUUUAGAAAUAAACUUAGUUGGAAAUAUGAAUCAACUAGGAUUUAAACUUGGGUCUCGGAUACCAACCGCCAAGUCCUUUGCCACUUGCUCUAGAAACAGUCGGUUCAAAAGAGCAAAGGUUAAGAUUCAAAUGAUCAUUAUAAAGUCGAUCUGUUCAAAUGUCAGGUUGUAAAGUAGUUCGAAUGGCGAGUUUGAAUUUUUCUCUUUUCGUUUGAAUUUUAGAUUAGAAACUAAUAUAUAUAACCGGGCAUGGUUUUUCGUUGUUGCCCAUAAAUUUUAUUUUUUUGAGAGAUAAAUAUCACGCUAUCCGCUUUAUUUAUUUUAUUUAAAAAUAAAUUUAGUUAAAAAUACGAAUCAAUUAGAAUUUGAAUUUGAAAUCUUGGUAUCAACACCAAAUUUGUUAUUAUUAGAUUAGAAUACUUUAUAGGUGGAAAGCAAACAGCUGGGAUCGCGUGAGGAGGGAGCGUCUUAUGCGCUGGAGAUUCAGCUUUGGGAACCGGAAUCUCGGGAAUCCCAAUCAGGCGCCAAAAGGUCGGAGCAGGAUCACGCAACCGCACACACCCCGCCACUCCGGGCCCACCGAUGGUGGGGUCCAUCCCUCUUUUUGCCAGCCGGCGAUCCACCCGUCGCUUUCGGACCCGGAAAGCGACCCGAUCCUGUGUUGGCUGCCGAGUCGAAUCUGCCUAAUGAAAUCCAAGUUAGUUAGAAGGACCACAUCUCUCUUAUAGGAUAACAGUGGGAAAAAAAAAAUAUAAGAAAAAACUUCAAAUACCCCUCAUGUGAUUUCAUUUUUUUUUUUUCACUCUAGUAUUCUGUGAUUUAAAGUAUAUCAAAUUAGUACCUGUGGUUUCGUACUUUCUCACUUUAGUACCAUGUGGUUUAAAGUGUAUCAAGUUAGUACCUUGUGAUUUCGCACUUUCUCACUUUAGUACCCUGUGGUUUAAUAUUUCAUUAAGAAAAAAAUAAAACCACAUGAUACUAACUUGAUACAAAAAUAAAAUCACAGAGUACUAACUUGAUACACUUUAAACCACAGGGUGCUAAAGUGAGAAAGUGCGAAACCAAAGGGUACUAAAAUGAAAAAAUGCGAAACCACAAGGGGGGUUUUUGAAGUUUUCCCAAAAAUUAAAGAUAAAGUUAUAACUUUAAAGAAAAAAAAGUUUUAAAAUUUAUUAAAAAAGUAUUAGAAUAUUUGAUAUAGAAUGAAUGUGAUAAACCCUGUGAUUUCGCACUUUCUCAAUUUUUUUUUAAAAACCCCCCUUAUGAUUUCAUUUUUUUUCAUUUUAGUAUCCUGUGGUUUAAAGUGUAUCAAGUUAGUACCUGUGAUAAUGUGGUUUCGUACUUUCUCACUUUAGUAUCCUGCGGUUUAAAGUGUAUCAAGUUAGUACCCUGUGAUUUCGCACUUUCUCACUUUAGUACCCUGUGGUUUAAUAUUUCAUUAAGAAAAAAUUAAAACCACAUGGUACUAACUUGAUACAAAAAUAAAAUUACAGAAUACUAACUUGAUACAUUUUAAACCACAGGAUACUAAAGUGAGAAAGUGCGAAACCAAAGGGUACUUACUUGAUAUACUUUAAACCAUAUGGUACUAAAAUGAAAAAAUGCAAAACCACAAGGGGGUUUUUGAAGUUUUUCUAAAAAUUAAAGAUAACGUUAUAACUUUAAAGAAAAAAAAAAGUUUUUAAAUUUAUUAAAAAAGUAUUAGAAUAUUUGGUACAGAAUGAAUGUGAUAAACCACCACUUAGUUGAGAUAAUAUGAUAUAUUGUCUAAUCUAAAAAUAUAUAUAUAUUUUUUUUUUGAGGAAAAGGUAGCAUGCUAAUAAUAAAAUUUUAGAAAUAAAAAUUAAACUCCUAACUCUUACCGUUCCUAGAGCAAGUGGCAAAGGGCUUGGUGGUUGGUACCCGAGGUCCCAAAUCGAAUCUAGUUGAUUCACAUUUCCAGCUAAGUUUAUUUCUUAAUAAAAUAAACGGAGUAGGUAGCGUGCUAUCUAUUUCUCAAAAAAAAAACUCUUAAUCGUACAGAAAAAAAAAAGAGGAGAAAUUGUCAUUAUAUAGCUUACUUCGACAUCAAAAUAGGAUCUUAACUAUAGAUAAAUUAUUACAGGAAAGCAAAGGUCUUUCUAUCAAAAACCAAUUUAUUAGAUAUGUUUUAAGAUAUUUUUUAUUUAAAUAAAAAACUAAAUAUCUAUUUUAUUUAAUCAAAUAAUUUUAUUUUUUUUUUAUGUUAUUGUCAGGAUUUAUGUUCCGGAUACAGGUAACAAAUUCUUAAUAAUUCAGUGGCCAAGAUUUAUGUUGAUGCUUAGUCACAAGUAAAAUAAGUUUUUGAAAGCGCUCUUAGUUCGGUUUGACAAAAAGCAUGUCUCCAAAAUAUGAUGUAACUAGAAUUUUACCUCUCCCUAUCAAUUCUUUAAAAUAGUCAGAAAAGAGAAAGACAAAAUACCUCAUAAAAAAGUCAAUAGAUUUGAGAAUGAAUUUGUAAAAACAGAAAUAAAAUUAAAAUAUGUAUCCAGCUUAGAGCAAGCAAGCUCAUGAAAUAUGCUAUAAGGAUUCAAAAAGAUAUCCCGAAACAUAAUUGAUAAGUUAUAUUUUAAAAUUAUCCACAUGCACGGAAACAAAUAGCAAGAUAAAAAAAACAUUUGCAGCACUAGAGUUGACUUGUCAAGUAAACUCUCGAUACCAUUCCCGAGUUAUAUAUCAUUGGUAGUUUUAAUUUUUUAAGACAACCUAGUACCUACAUAACAUUUAAUAGGCUCUAUUAUUUGACAAAAUUAUAAUUCGACUAGUAAGUUAUAAUAAUGGUAGUACAAAUGCAAGUUUGCUGUGGUCCUCGAUCCAUAGUACCAAGUUGUUAUGCAGUCUAAUCAGAAUUGUAAUUUAUGGAAACGUAUUUACGAAAAAGUUGUUCCGCUGUUUAAUCACACGUCUAAUCUAGAAAAGUAUUCAUUUUAUAAGGUAAUAUUGGAGAAUAAGUUAAAAAUUAAUAUUUCAGAAAUAAGUAUAAAUUGAGGUAUAAGCGGGAAUUAGAUUAAUUUUGCGUUUGGAUGAAAAUUGGGUUAUUCCUGGAAAUAAAAAAAAUAACGUUUGAUUAUGUAAGAUGGAAUAAGAAUUAAAUUGGAUAGUUAUAAAUAAAAAAUAAUAAUAUUAUCUCUUUCUUUAUAUUAGAAUUUAAAUUUUCAUAUUUUAUAUUUAUAUUUUAAAAUUUUAAAUUUCAAAAUUUGAAAUUAAAAUUUAAAAUUUAAAAUCUAACUUUAAAUUUAAGAUCAAAUUUAAAUUUUAAAAAANAUUAUAUAAUAUUAUGUAAUAAAAAUAAUAUUUUAAUAAUUAACAUGAUAUAAUUAUGUAUAAUAAAUAUAAAUUUAUAAUAUUAUUUAAGAAAAAUAAUUUAAAUUCAAAUUCAUCUUAAAAUUUUUUAUAAUAUUUAAAUAAUAGUAUUUAAUAAAAAUAAUUAACUAUAUUAUAUUUAUAUAAUUUAUUUUUAAUUUAUUUUAUAAUUUUAAUUAAGUUUAAAUUUAAGAAUUGGAAUAGCACUACUCCACCAAAAUGAUGGAAUAGUAAAAAGCUUGUUAUUUCGGGAUAACCGGGAAUAGCAAACUUUGACCGGGAUAAAAUAUCCUGGUAAAAAAUGACUCCGUUUGGUCUCCGAACCAAAUGGGGCCAAAGUCUAAAAUUUCUUUCAUAAAAUGAUCUAAAAUAUAACUUUCACGAAAUGUCUGAUUUUUUAUAUUACAGAGCUACAUGAUGGUAGAUUGAGAUGUAUUUUCAUUAAUCAGUUACAUUGCCUUCACAAAAAUAACUGGAAUUCUCAUUUUCAGAUAGUAUAGCUUCUUUUAUUCAUGACAUAUGCAUAACAGCUUUCAGUUAUAAGAAUCACAUGCUUUAAAAUAAGAUAAAUAAAUAUAUAUAAAUUUGAAGUUCAAGGUCAAUAUUUUUGACUUGUAUAAGGAGUGCUGCCGGAUUGAAACUGCAUGCACGUGCCAACUGAGAGUGUCGGCAUUCCAGCAGUAAUAGACGAAAAUUUUGGAUUUAGAUUCCAGUCACUAGUACCAGCUGUCUGAGAUGUAAUUUUUAGUUUGGCGGCCUGGAAUAGGAUCGGGCCCCACCGCCCCAGAAUGCCAAGCAACAAAUUGAGAAGUUCUUCUACACUAGGGACCUGUUUGUUUCAACGUAAGUAGACUUGGAGUAGAAGUGGACUUUGGGUUGAAGUGGAAUUGGGAUGAAAAUUAGUUCACUUCUGCUGUUUGUUUCAACGUAACUACGCAUGUGAGCUUUUCUAUGUAAAUUCCUCAAUUUAGAUGGCUCUUUAUUUAAUGUUCGAUCCCUUUCACGUAAUCGUAAAAAGAAUAUUACACACACCACCAUAAUAACAAAUCCAACUUGAUUAGCACGAUGUAAGUUCAAAAGUAAAUCUCUAUUGUCCAUCUGAAACUGAAGAAGAUUCAAAUAAGAAUUAUAAAAAAUUACUAAUAUCUGUGACAAAUAAACUAAACUAAAAGUUUUCUACAUUAAAAAGAAACUUUAUAAUUUUCAUCAUGUGUUAAUAAUCAAAGAACAAACGUGGCAUUAGUGUUAAUAAUCUAAAUCCAAACACAGUUUGUGCAUCAUGUGUUAAUAAUCCAAAUCCAAACACAGUUUGUGCAUUUGAAUACAACAAAACAAAUUUUCUGCUUGACUCUACAUGGUAACAUCAUGUAUACAAAGUUAAACCAUUUCACAAUACAAGGUUAAACCAUUUCACAACACCAUUGCAAAACCAAGAUUGAAAGCUAGAAGAAUCAAUUCUUUUUCCUUCUUUUCUUCUGAUGGAGAAUCAAUACAAUAAUCUGAACAGGAAUCAGCAUCAUGAAAGAAAAAGUUUCCAUAGGAAUUGAAACAAUAGGAUGAAAAAGGACAUAUUCUAAUCCCCCACCCCUACCCACACCCCACCGCACCCCAAAUUUUUUCAUCGGAAAAAAAAAAGCCACCAUCAUCAGAAAUAAAGGGCCAAAAAAUUAGAAAAUGCAGUAAAUAAAAAAACAUGAUUUGGUACAACACUAAUCUUAAAUCUUUAAUAAUCAGAGCAAAAAAAUAAAAAUAGCAGUAAAUUAAAAAAAAAAUUGAAACUGCAGUAAAUAAAAAUGUUAAAAAUUGCAAUAAAAAAAAAAAAACUGCAAUAAAUCAGAGACGAAAAAAUUUAUUUGCAAACCUUGUCAACUGCGAUAGGGAAAGAGAUGGAAAUGGAAUGCGAGAUCUGAGAUCGAAGGAGAUGAAUGGCUAGAGAGAGAAGAAAGGAUUGAAGAAACAAAAUGAGGGAGAAAUUGUUUUUUUUUUGUUUUAUGGGGUCUGCUGAGAAAAAAAAAUGGUGAGAGUUGGGUCGGGAGGAGAGGAAAUGAUAGAGAAUGGAGAGAGUUGGGUCGGGAGGAGAGGAGGAGAAGAGGUAACCCUAACACUCUUGCAUUUUUUCCAGUUCACCGAAUUUGACUUCGCCCUAUGGGAGGGUGAAGUCAAGUUCAUUAGUUUAGGUGAAGUAGACUUACGGGCGUAAUAACAUUACGGUGAACCAAACAACGGAAGUGACCAAUUUUCACCGAAAACUACUUCCCCCUUCCCACUUCCACCGCACUUACGUGCAAACAAACAGACCCUAGAGUUUGAUUUCCAAGGUGUGAUCAGUUCAUGAGCAGUUCUAAAUGUUCCAAUUAAGUAUGUAUGUAUUUAUUAUUAUUAAAAGUAUAAAUAUAUUCCCUGGAGUCGCAGCUUUGUUUUUUUUUAAAAAAAAAAAACAAAACAAAAAGUGAGUAGCUUUCAUACUUUAGAACCCCUCUUUAAACACCUUUUGUGUAUAUUUCAAAAGUCUUAAUUUAAAUUUAAAUACACAUGAAAGCAUGAAAUUCUAUGUUUUCAAAAGUCAAACUACGAGUCUAAAAUUUUUACACAUGAAAGAACAAAAUCUCAUAUUUUUUCUCAAUUUAUGGAUGGAAGUAUGAAAUCCCAUAUUUCAAAGUCAAAAUUUUGAGUCUCAAUUCUAAAUACCUAUGAAAGUACAAAAUCCCGUGUUCAGGAUAAAACUAUCUGUCAUUUUACCAUUGGAUUAUACCCCCAAGGAUAUACAAGUUGUUCAAAAUAAUAUUAUUUUAAAUGAUUUUUUUUAAAUUUAAAGUGCUUGCAUCAGUCUAAGUUGGUGUAAAUUUUGCCAAAUUAUAUCCCAUCUUUAUAGAGAGAGAACUAUCAAUAGCUAAAAUAUUUUGUGCUCAUUUUUCUCUAAAAUUUAUAGAUUUUCUUUUUCAAUUUUAACUGAAAAUAGGAUAUGAAUACAAUUAUUUUAUACAUUCCUAUAAAAAGUUAUCUAACUGGUUUUUUUUUUUUGGAAAAAAAUAUAUUUUUUGAAAUUUCCAAACAAACUCUUCGAAGUAGAAUGGUUUCCCGGAAANUCCUAUAAAAAGUUAUCUAACUGGUUUAUUUUUUUUGGAAAAAAAAAUAUUUUUUGAAAUUUCCAAACAAACCCUUCGAAGUAGAACGGUUUCCCGAAAAGUAUGAAAUCCUUUUUUUUUAAAACCUUUUUAAUACCUUUUUUUAAUUUUUCACAUGUCUGGUUAAAAAAAAAAUAAAAUUUCUCAUAAUUUAUAAAAAAUAGUUUUUAUUUUUUAAAAUUAAAAAUUGAAAAUAUUUUUAUUUACAAAAUAUGAAAAAAUUAUUUUUUAGAACCAAAAAAAUGAAAAAUUAAAAGAAAAAAUUGACCGUCCAUGAUGCAAGUGGCAAAAAAUUUUGCGAUUGAUCCCCGAGUUGCCAAAUUUGAAUCCUAAUUAAUUUAUAUUUUCAGUUAACUCUUUUUUUAAAAAAAUAAACGAAAUGAACAGCAUAGUAUAUUUAUUUCAAAAAAAAAAUUUUGUUGGUCACAUGUCCUACUUAAUAUGACUUAAUCAAUCACGAUUAUAUAGUAAUAUUCAUCAAUCCCAUCUAUAUAUUUAUUUUGUAUUUUUAAUUAUUUCUAUAUAUAGCUUAAUUUAUUUAUAAAACAAUAUUUUUAUUAUAUAUUAUAUUAUUUUAUUAUAUAUAUAUUAUUAAUCAUUUCUAUAUGACUAAUUUGGUGUGAUUAGAGAGCUUUCCUCUUUGGCGAGAACCAAACUUGGGCUACUCACACUGCCAAAAAAGGCGUUCUCGUCAACUCGCAUCUCUAGCCGUCCAAAUUCUAGCCAUCCAAAUCCGUCCCCUCUCCUCUCCACUCCCUCUCGAAUCGCUUGAAGUGGGGCUCCCCUUCGUAAAUCCCAAUUACCUCCCACCAAACCCCCCUCCUCCAGGUCUCCUCCUUCUCCGGCGGCGGCGGCGGCGGCGGCGGCGGCGACAAUGGAGAUCGACGCGGCGCGGAUCCACCGGAAGAAGGCGGCGGCGGAGGACAAGGAGGAGGAGGAGGAGGAGGUGUCGCCGAUCGAGGAGGUGCGGCUGACGGUGACGAACGCGGACGACCCGUCCCUCCCCGUGUGGACGUUCCGCAUGUGGUUCAUCGGCACGCUGGCCUGCGCGCUCAUGUCGUUCCUGAACCAGUUCUUCGCCUACCGCACCGAGCCCCUCAUCAUCACCCAGAUCACCGUCCAGGUCGCCUCCCUCCCCGCCGGCCACUUCCUCGCCCGCGUCCUCCCCUCCUCCAAGUUCCGCAUCCCCGGCCUCGGCCACCGCGAGUUCUCGCUCAACCCGGGGCCCUUCAACAUGAAGGAGCACGUCCUCAUCUCCAUCUUCGCCAAUGCCGGCUACGCCUUCGGCAACGGCAAUCCCGCCUACCCGUCGGCAUCGUCAACAUCAUCAAGGCCUCUACAGGCGCAACCAUUCCUUCCUCGCCGGCUGAGUGCUCAUCAUCACCACUAGGUCUCCCUCUUCCCCCCUUCCACCCCCCCCCCCCCCCCCCCCCCCCCCCCCCGAAUCCCUAUCGAUCGCGAUUAUUUUUCUUUUUUUUUGUCUAUUCCUUUUUUCUUCUUCUUAUUAUUAUUAUUAUUAUUUGGUGGGGGGUUUGAUGAUCUUUAGUUACUGGUGAGGGUUUAUUAUUGUUUGUGGGGUUUUGUUAGGUGUUGGGGUACGGAUGGGCGGGGCUGAUGCGGAAGUACGUGGUGGAGCCGGCGCACAUGUGGUGGCCGAGCACGCUCGUCCAGGUCUCGCUCUUCCGGUAAGUUUUCGAAAUUUUCUUUUCUUUUCUUUUUUCUUUUUUUUUUUGAGCUAACUAUGAAAAUUUUUGAAUGAUUUUCUGUUUUUUUUCCCCCUAAAUUUAGUUUCCUAAUUUUUUUUUGAAAUAUUUAUCAUUGAACACUAAACGGUGCGCUAAUUUUGACAGAUAUUAUCACAUGAUAAGAUUUUGUGCUAAAAAUACCAAAUAUGUAAUUUUCCUCCAAAUGAACAUAUUUUUUACUUAAAAAAUGUUAAAAUAAGAAACAAAAUUUUAAAAUUUUAUCAGAAAAUAAAAGUAAAAAACAAAAACAAAAACAAAAACUAGUUAAAAGUUACGGUAAAUAAUGAUAUUAUUGUCAACUCUCCUUUGUAUUUCUUAUCAGAGCCCGCAUAAAGAUUGCCACUAAGGAUCGUGUGGAAAAUGAUGUUUUAUUGAAAUGUUGAUCGGUAGGAUUUGGAUUGGUAUUAUUUUUCUCCUCGUUGUUGACCCACCCGUGCACCCAGAUGGGGACGGAUGGGAGAAAGGUAGGCGACAGCUAAAAGUUAAUUAACUUUUGGGUUACUUUAGUUAUUAGCAGAGAGAAGAAUAUGGUAUUUUUGUAAAUUAUAAAUGAACUAAAUGGGCAACAAAUUACACAGGCAAAUUUGGGGGCACGAUGAACACUUCCUUUCAAAAUUGUUGAAACCAUCCUUUUAAAAUAAAAAAGAAGAGACAAAAUUUAGUUAGGAAACUCCUGGUGUUCCAUUUUUGUGGAGAAAUACCCGAGAAAAAAUUGGAUGGUGCUUAAUUUCACAAACUCAUAUUGGACCCGACCCUCCAUUACAAGCAAAAUAUUCUACUAAUGAUGGCGCAUUAUGUCUUCCACUACACUCGGGCUAACAAUUAUAAGGGGACAAGAAAGGAGAUACUUGCAUAGUUGUUAGGCCCACCGUACAAACUAAUGAUCUCUCUUAUACAAAAUGAUUGAUUUUGCUUAAUUUUUCCACUUACUAAUACCGAGGUAUUUAAUUAAUCCAAAUUUUUGUAUACACAAAUAAUUUAGUUUUUUGUAGGAUAUAUAUUAUAAAUUUUGCUGGGACAUUUAUGCAUUUGAUAGGAUGGUAAAUUUGGUAUUUAGGUAAAUUACAUUUAAAAGAACAUUUUGCAGCAUUAGGGAAGAAGAGAUACAAUUUUCGAACCUUUUUCACUAUAAAAAGCAAAAUAGUUGGAUCUAUUCUUUUGAGUUAAAACUGGCUAGCUGUUUACUAUCCAUCUUGGAAGAUUCCACUGCCUAUCGCUAGCUGUUUCUAUUCAUCUUAGGAGAUUCUGCUCCCUAAUGCUAGCUGUUUACUAUCACACUAAGGGCUUGUUUGGUUCAUCCAUUUUGGAUAUGAAAUGAGAAUCGGUUUGAUCAAAUUCGAUUAAUUUUGUUUGGUUCGCAGGAAUCGGUUUAGGAUUCCUAUUUCGGACUGGAAUGGAAAUGGCCCAUCAGCCUUCAACUUGAUUCCGGUCUUCUAGCCCGGAUUGACAUUUUAUUCCAGAAACUCACUAAGUUCUCGAGGCCAUGCGACCAUCUCACCAUCCUCUCCUGUAUACGAUCUCUUUACCCCUCUCUCAUCAAAAAAAAAAAAAAAAAAAACCCUAUCCUCUCUUAAAACCCUAUCCCUAACCCACAUCAAUAAAAGUUUUUAAAAAUAAAUUUGAUAUUUUUUUUGAAAAACUUAUUAGAGAAUAGUAUUAUAUUUUUCAUAAAUUUUAAAUAAUAUAAACUUAUAUUUGAGAGUUAAAUUAGUAUUAUAGUAUCCUAUAAUUUUUUAGUUUAUACGAACCAAAUAAUGAAAUGUGAAUAACUCAUUCCAAUUUCCAAUCCACAAAUAAACCAAAUGUCUUGGGGGAGUGAGCCAAUCCAAUUACCAUUCCAAUUCAUUCCCAUUUCAUUAUCCAUUCCAAUUCCACCCUUGAACCAAACAAGCCCUCAAGAGAUUCCGCUGUCUAUUCUUUAUGUUGCUUUCACUUUGGUGACUUUGGUCAUUAAUCAAAGAGGGGUCAUAUUAUACAAGUUUUAUAGGAAUAAGUUAGGUAGUCUUUUUCAUCCUAUUUUCACGUCAAGUUUAUAUAGAAAAUGAUAUAUAGAAAAUGCCUAGCAUGACUUUUCAAGAAAUAGGGAAAACUAACAUGUGGGACAAAUACAACGUAGUGAGAUUGGUUAAAGUUAGGGACAUACUUUCAGCUUCCUCACAAAUAAUUUUCCAAGCAUUGAUAUUGAUAUUCUACCAAUUGUAGAUGGCACGUUAUGUUACCUGUCUAAACUCUUUAGAACUCUUCAAUUACAUAUGCCAACAAAUCAGUAACAUAUAAAAUCACAUUUUGAAUGUAGUCAAUAGUUGGGUAUAGUCCACAACUGAAUUAUUUUCUGAAAUGCUCCGAGCUAAUAAGUUUUCAAAUCCAGUAUCCAGUUAUGGGCUAUUCUUUUGGGCACAUGCUAUGAUACCUAGGCCGUUACUUGAAGAAGAUACGGGAUUAGAAAUUAUUUUGUAGAUCCAGUCUACAAGGUUGUCAUUGGAUUGCGCUGAUGUGAUUAACGAGCUUAUUAUUAUUUUUUUCUUUGUAAUCCAGUCGCUUUGAUGCAUUUUUUGGCAGCUCCAUGGAUGACCUAGUAAAUUAGGUUUAUCCUAGGUUAUCGGAUGUAACUAUUAGCACUUCAAUAUUCUUUCAACAAAAUAAAAGCAUCUGUCAACAGUUGGACAUUGGUUUGGAGCUCUGAUAAUGACAUUAGACUUGUAGAAUUUUGGAGUUCUUUACGUUGCCAUGCGUGCACUUGUCUGUAUAUGCAGUAUUCAAUUUGAAAUGUUCUUUCUGUGACAUAACAAGGUCAACAUGUCAAUAUCUUAAGCUAAAGGUAUUCAUAUCCUGAGAUGCCAAUAUUGCUGGAUAUAUUUUUAUCUUAUAUUAUCAAAACAAAAUUUUAUGAUUUCUUGCACUGGCACAGUAUCUGAAUCUAUAUAGCGAUGAAAACUGAAAUUAUGAGCACUUUUUGUGCUAUUUGGCAUGGAAGACUAACAAAAACAUCUAACUAGCUGAUGUACAUUUUUUUGGGUCUGUAAAUGAUCAACAAACUUCAAAAGGCAACAUCUUACUAGGCUUCAAAUUUACUUAAUACAUGAUAAGCCCACCAUUAAGCACUGGAACUAAAUAUCAGAAAUGUUUUUGAAUUUAUAGGGCCUUGCACGAAAAGGAAGAUCGUCGCAUGUCGCGGGCCAAAUUCUUUGUCAUUGCCAUGAUCUGCAGCUUUGCAUGGUAUGUCGUCCCAGGCUACCUGUUCCCUACACUCACAAGCAUUUCAUGGGUCUGCUGGGCCUUCUCCAAGUCAGUCACAGCCCAGCAACUUGGGUCUGGCAUGAAGGGCCUUGGGAUUGGCGCCUUCACCCUUGACUGGACUGCAGUUGCCUCAUUCCUCUUCAGCCCGCUCGUCUGUCCCUUCUUCGCUAUUGUCAACAUUUUCAUUGGCUAUGUUAUUUUCCUCUAUAUCAUCAUCCCGGUGGCAUACUGGGGCCUCAACUUGUACAGUGCAAAGACCUUCCCGAUAUUCUCCUCUCAUUUGUUCACAGCCAAUGGGGCACCGUAUAAUAUCACCGCAAUCGUGAACAACAAGUUUGAGAUAGAUAUGCAGGCUUACCAGCAGCAGGGGAAGAUACAUCUCAGCAUGUUCUUUGCUCUUUCUUAUGGUCUCAGUUUUGCCACUAUUGCAUCUACUCUCACGCAUGUCGGCUUCUUCUAUGGAAGGUGUGAAUCCAUCUCGAGUGUAAAUGAAAUUUAUGCUUCUAUGAAUCAUUUUAUCUCAUCAAACUGAUACGGAGGAUUGACAACAAAUUGCAACUCGUUAGUUGUUAUGUAUCCUUUGAUCAAGUGUUAGCUUUGAAAUUUCACUUCAUAAUAUUUUGCAAGAAGUUAUUUCAGUAGUUAUAAUUGCAUUUUACCUCAUAAUCUUUUGCAAAUGAGCUUUUACUUUGCAAUCUUCUUUUAAUUUGCGUUGUGCUUCAUACUUGUAUGUAUAUAAUUGUUCAGGGAGAUCUACGAUCGUUUCCGUGUUUCGUAUAAAGGAAAACCCGACAUUCAUACAAAAUUAAUGAGGAAAUAUGAGGACAUACCCGGGUGGUGGUUUCACUUGUUGCUAGUAGCAACAGUUAUAGUGUCCCUAAUACUCUGCACUGUGUUGAAGGACCAAGUUCAGCUUCCAUGGUGGGGCCUUCUCUUCUCCUGUGCUGUGGCCUUUGUGUUUACUCUUCCUAUCAGCAUAAUCACUGCAACUACGAACCAGGUAAUACAUGCCUCUAGCCAUUUUUGAUGAAUAGUUUUAAGUAAGAGAUGUCACUAACCAUUUCUUUCUUUUUGUAUGAAAAAACAAAUAAACAAACAAUAAAUUAAAGACGCCUGGACUGAACGUGAUAACGGAAUACAUUAUGGGUUUGAUAAUGCCGGGGAAGCCCAUUGCCAACGUGUGCUUCAAAGUAUACGGCUACAUGAGCAUGUCUCAAGCCGUCUCCUUCCUUGCUGACUUCAAGCUCGGCCACUACAUGAAAAUCCCCCCCAAGUCCAUGUUCCUUGUGCAGGUAGUCUAAAACUCCUUUCCAAUUGAAACCUCUACAUAGAGUUAUUUUCAUCUUAUCAUUUGUUUUUCUAUUUGUAUCAGUUCGUCGGCACCAUAAUCGCUGGCACUAUCAACCUCGGCGUUGCGUGGUGGCUGCUCGAAUCCAUCACGAACAUAUGCCAAGACAACCUGCUCCCGCCGGACAGCCCGUGGACGUGCCCUGGAGACCGCGUUUUCUUUGACGCCUCCGUCAUCUGGGGACUGGUUGGCCCGCGACGCAUCUUUGGCCCGCUUGGCAGCUACGGCGCCCUUAACUGGUUCUUCCUUGGCGGUGCCAUUGGUCCGGUCAUUGUUUGGAUCUUCCACAAGAUCUUUCCUAAACAAUCAUGGAUUCCGUUGAUAAACCUCCCUGUGCUCAUCGGCGCGACGGCUAGUAUGCCCCCCGCCACCGCGCUCAACUACAACGCAUGGGUGGCGGUCGGGACGGUGUUCAACUACUUUGUGUUUAGGUACAAGAAGAAGUGGUGGGAGAGGUACAAUUACAUCCUUUCAGCGGCGAUGGAUGCCGGGGUGGCGUUCAUGGGGGUGCUUUUGUACUUUUCGCUGUCGAUGGAGAACAAAGGAAUUGAUUGGUGGGGGACGGCCGGUGAGCACUGCGAGCUUGCGAGUUGCCCGACUGCGAAAGGAGUGCAGUCGGACAACCCGAAUUGCCCCGUAUUCUGAUUCUUCCAAAUAGAGGGUACAACUGAAUCCUUCUCUAGCUAGUUUAUAAUUCCGUGUUAUUCUUAGUUGGUUUAUAAAGGUUUCUGAUCAGUUAUUUAGUAUAACCCAAAUUGGCCGGGGCCUGAUGUUUAUGUAUAUGAUUGGGACCGCAAAAGAAAAGCAUAAUGUUUAUAUCUUAGAAUUACUUCGUGUUGCAAAAUGUAAGAAAUUUAAUCGAGUCACCGAGUAUUAACUAUUAAUUUGGAAUGCAUAAUUAUUCUUACUAUAACUAGUAAACGAAUGAAGCUGCAGAUUAAUUUCAUUUUAAACCUAGUUUGGGGGAUAGUUACAUCUUUUUUCUUUGUGUGGAAAUGUAUUUAUUUUAUUUUUCAAAACUCUAUAAUUAUAUAAUCAAGAACUGCCUUUUUUUAGUAAAAUGCCCAUCAGUUUUAACCUUUGUUUUUUUAAAAAAGCAGCAGAUCAAUUGAAAACACUCACGAAGCCCACAAUGUGGGACUCGGUUCUUGCUUGGGCCUUAUAUUUGUGCUGGACCUCAAGGAGCCAACAAGCUGAACCCGGCCUAAGCUCGAACAGCUUGUGGCUAUUAUUUCCACCUCUACCAUAGAGUGUUGUAGACCGCGGAGAAAUAGAGUAAGAUUCAACCAAACACCAUCUAUAAGCACCUCACACUUUAAUUUCUUCUUGUCCUACUUUUUCAAUACAUAAAUAGCUGCAACUCAUUAGACGGUUUGUGAUUGGCGCGUCAGUUACAACUUACAACUGGAGGUUGAUUGGUGGGCGGUGCCCGGGUGUUAAAGAUGCGGAUCAGAGAAACCAUCUUCAGCCCAAAUACUGGUCAGGUCCGAUCAGAAAUUACCCCACCAUCGUAUUGGGCUACACAAAGCACGUAAUAUAGUGUGCAUCGGCGAUGGAGCCUGACGGACGAUUCAUGCUGAAAUUUGCCUUUACAGUAUUGAGUGAUGAGGGCAUGAGGAAUUUGGAGACUUCAAAUAUUCCUAAAAGUGAAAGUGUUUUCUGGCUCCUCAAAAAGAGGCCUCUUACACGGUAAUACAGCUCUUGUGUCACUGUGUUGUGUGGGAUUGAAGAGAAUUUGGAAGAGAACGAUGAUCUUGGAGAGUGUUCAAUCUAGAGAUUUGGAAGAUGACGUAAAUUUGUUCUAGGAUAGGUGGAUGGUUAGGAAUGGAACGCAAUCAAAGAGUACAGGGCUAAUUGGACUAGUAGUCUGCUGGUGGGUUACUUGGGAGGUCAGAAACUAUGCGACUUUUAGGAAGGGUCAGUCGGACCCCAUUCUAGCAGUUUACAAAAUUAAUUAGUUGAUGAACCUAUGGGACUAAUUUCUCUCGGCAAAUAGACACUUCUGUAAUCGGUAGCAUUGCUCUUCUCUGAGACCUAUGAUGCCUCAUUCCUGUAGCUUAGCUCAUUAUUCUAAUGAAUGAAGUGGUUAGCGUACCAUCUUUUUCUCAAAAAAAUAAAAACAUGUAAUGUGUUCAUCCUACAAAUUGGGCUAAAGGGAGCCCAAGAUAUCAAUAUUGAGCCGAAGAAAUUGUUUUUUUGUUUUUUUGUUUUUUUUGAGAGAUAGGUAACACGUUACCCGCUCCGUUUAUUUCAAUUAGAAAUAAAUUUAGCUAAAAAUGUGAAUUAACUAGGAUUCGAAUUUAAAAUCUCGGAUAUCAACCAUCAAACCUUUUAUCACUUAUUAUAGGGCAGUCCGUGAAGAAAUUGUUAUAUCUGGCCCAUUCUUAUCCAGAAUUCGAGUAGGAUAUGCGCCAGAUCUUUCCCGUGACUUGAGCCGAACGUAACGCAAUCCGGUACCAAUAUCAACCAUCAAACCUUUUGUCACUUACUACAGGGCAGUCCGCGAAGAAAUUGUUAUAUCUGGCCCAUUCUCAUCCAGAAUCCGAGUAGGAUAUGCGCCAGAUCUUUCCCGUGACUUGAGCCGAACGUAACGCAAUCCGGUACCAAUAUCAACCAUCAAACCUUUUGUCACUUACUACAGGGCAGUCCGCGAAGAAAUUGUUAUAUCUGGCCCAUUCUCAUCCAGAAUCCGAGUAGGAUAUGCGCCAGAUCUUUCCCGUGACUUGAGCCGAACGUAACGCAAUCCGGUACCAAUAUCAACCAUCAAACCUUUUGUCACUUACUACAGGGCAGUCCGCGAAGAAAUUGUUAUAUCUGGCCCAUUCUCAUCCAGAAUCCGAGUAGGAUAUGCGCCAGAUCUUUCCCGUGACUUGAGCCGAACGUAACGCAAUCCGGUACCAAUAUCAACCAUCAAACCUUUUGUCACUUACUACAGGGCAGUCCGCGAAGAAAUUGUUAUAUCUGGCCCAUUCUCAUCCAGAAUCCGAGUAGGAUAUGCGCCAGAUCUUUCCCGUGACUUGAGCCGAACGUAACGCAAUCCGGUACCAAUAUCAACCAUCAAACCUUUUGUCACUUACUACAGGGCAGUCCGCGAAGAAAUUGUUAUAUCUGGCCCAUUCUCAUCCAGAAUCCGAGUAGGAUAUGCGCCAGAUCUUUCCCGUGACUUGAGCCGAACGUAACGCAAUCCGGUACCAAUAUCAACCAUCAAACCUUUUGUCACUUACUACAGGGCAGUCCGCGAAGAAAUUGUUAUAUCUGGCCCAUUCUCAUCCAGAAUCCGAGUAGGAUAUGCGCCAGAUCUUUCCCGUGACUUGAGCCGAACGUAACGCAAUCCGGUACCAAUAUCAACCAUCAAACCUUUUGUCACUUACUACAGGGCAGUCCGCGAAGAAAUUAUUAUAUCUGGCCCAUUCUCAUCCAGAAUCCGAGUAGGAUAUGCGCCAGAUCUUUUCCGUGACUUGAGCCGAACGUAACGCAAUCCGGUACCAAUAUCAACCAUUAAACCUUUUGUCACUUACUACAGGGCAGUCCACGAAGAAAUUGUUAUAUCUGGUCCAUUCUCAUCCAGAAUCCGAGUAGGAUAUGCACCAGAUCUUUUCCGGCGCAGAUCUUUUUCGUGACUUGAGCCGAACGUAACGCAAUCCGGUACCAGCCCGAAAUCAAAUCGAUAUGGGGGAAAAGAAACGAAUCUCGACCGUCCUUUCAACCGGAUCGGAACUUCUUUUUUCCCUAUAAAUACACGCUCAAACCCUUGUAAAUAAACGCAGCACACGUACCCUACUACUAUCUCUUUCUCUCUUCAUCGUUCUCUCUCUCUCUCGCCUCGUUCACAAAUCUCUCGCAAUUCUCAAGCUCUUGAAAGGUAUUUUGUUCCUCUUCUGAUCUCAAGAUCCUUGAUAGAUGGAGAUCUAGAGUUCUUCUGUUCUCCGAUCUAUGAGUUCUUCUUCUUUUUUUUUGUUUAUAUGUUUAAUUUGUUGUUUCCUUCAUCUGAUAUUGAUAAUACCAAGUAAUAGUACGAUUGCUGUGUCUAAUAAUGUAUCUAGGUAUUGUUUAUUGUUCGUUUCUCCUUUUGCUCUCGUGCUUUUAAUGCUAUUUAUUUCUGAGAAUUUGGAAUCUGUCGUGUGUGGUUUGCGAUCAUCUGUUUAUUAUCGCGAGUUGUUUGUAUGAUUUCGGAAAAUUGUAUAUUUUUUGUAUGAUUUAGGAUGUUUUGUUCGGCAUUGAUGUGUUGAUCCUAGAUUCUUUUUGUAAUAAUUCUAUCUUUCGUAUGGUUUUUUCAACAUUAAUGAUCUUUACUGUGUUAGAUUAUCCGUAAUUUUCUUGCUAUUUGGAAUGAGAUAUUUAAGUCAAGUAAGGUUUUCUCUAUGAUGCCUAUAUAUGCAAGUCUUGGUGUAGGACCUUAUGUGAUUGAAAUUUGGUCUUGUUUAAUGGUUCUUAAAUGCGUUGCUCCGCUUUUCCUAUUGAUUAGAACAUUACUGGCUAUUUUUUGUGCUUAAGAUCAAGAGACCAUAUGGUACAAGAAAAGUUGUUGUGGAUUUUUAAGCCGACUGAUCCUGUUAUUCAUCCUUCUUUCUAAUUAUUGUAAUCUGUUGAUAUCUUACGAUAGCACGAAAGAAUUAAACUUAUGAUGGAUUUCUCUUUUUCGGAUAUUUAAUUUUUGAUUGUUACUGUGCAAUAUUUAUUUUGUUCGUAGCAGAUGCAGAUCUUCGUGAAGACUCUCACCGGCAAGACCAUCACUUUGGAGGUUGAGAGCUCCGACACAAUUGAAAAUGUGAAGUCGAAGAUCCAGGACAAGGAGGGCAUUCCUCCGGACCAGCAGAGGCUUAUCUUUGCUGGUAAACAACUCGAGGACGGCCGCACACUCUCAGAGUACAACAUCCAAAAGGAGUCAACCCUCCACCUCGUCCUUCGCCUCAGAGGCGGUAUGCAAAUCUUUGUAAAGACUCUCACCGGAAAGACCAUCACCUUGGAGGUUGAGAGCUCCGACACGAUCGAAAACGUCAAGGCCAAGAUCCAGGACAAGGAGGGCAUCCCCUCGGAUCAGCAAAGGCUCAUCUUUGCAGGCAAACAACUCGAGGACGGUCACACUCUGUCGGACUACAAUGUUCAGAAAGAAUCAACCCUUCACCUCGUCCUACGUCUGAGAGGUGGCAUGCAGAUUUUUGUCAAGACCCUUACCGGAAAGACCAUAACUCUGGAGGUUGAGACCUCUGAUACAAUUGAGAACGUCAAGGCAAAAAUUCAGGACAAGGAAGGCAUCCCCUCAGACCAGCAGAGGCUCAUCUUUGCUGGCAAGCAACUCGAGGACGGGAGAACUCUGUCCGAUUACAAUGUUCAGAAAGAAUCAACUCUCCAUCUUGUUCUCCGUUUGAGAGGGGGGAUGCAGAUUUUUGUGAAGACCCUCACUGGAAAGACCAUCACUCUCGAGGUUGAGAGCUCUGACACAAUUGAAAACCUGAAGGGUAAAAUUCAAGACAAAGAAGGAAUCCUUCCCGAUCAGCAGCGGCUCAUAUUUGCUGGGAAGCAAUUGGAGGAUGGCCGGACCUUAUCAGAGUACAACAUCCAAAAGGAGUCCACCCUUCAUUUGGUUCUUCGCCUCCGCGGUGGAAUGCAGAUUUUUGUGAAGACUGUAACUGGGAAGAGCAUCACUCUCGAGGUGGAGAGCUCGGACACCGUAGAAAAUGUCAAAUACAAGAUUCAGGAUAAGGAGGGUAUCCCCUGGUUUCAGCAGAGGCUCAUCUUUGCUGGGAAACAGCUGCAGGAUGGACGCACCUUGUCGGACUAUAAUGUUCAGAAGGAGUCUACUCUUCAUCUUGUCCUGCGCCUUCGUGGUGGUGGUUGUGCUGGUUUCUGAGUGUAGAUGAAUGGGUUUCUUAAAUUCUUUCUGUUAAGGUCAUGGUGUCUCUGAUCUUAGAUUCUCAGGCUGAUGAAACUAUAGCUGGUUAUGGUGUUCUGUGGGACCAUUAUGUGGUACUGCUUUCUUUAGAUUUGGACUUGGGUAUUCUCAUAAUAAAUUCUGUUUUCCAGUUUUUUCUGGUUUAAGAAUUUAAAAUUAGUUAAGUUUAUUUUUCUGACUAUGUCGAAUGACAUGACAAUGCUUUUGCUGUGUAGUUUUUUUAAACUUCCACCUACUUUCAGCUUUUUUGAGUAUUUGAUGGGUGCUAGCAUAGCUCUGACUUGCAUGCUCUGCUCAUUUUGAAGAAACCAUCUGAAGUUAAUGAUGAAGUUCUGAUAAUAUGAACUAUGGUUGUGGUGCUCUGUUGUUUUUCUUAUUUUACCUAAUUUUGUUUAUACUUUCGAAACUUGCAAUCUACUGACAACUGAUAGCGCUUAAACUGCUUAUCUAGAGUAUUCUUUAACAUAUAUUGCAGGGCUUUAUUUGUGUAGUUUGCAAAUUCUAAGGUUUAUAUGCAUGAAUGUGAUCUAUGGGAUCUUUCCUGCAAUUUAGUAGUCUUCAAAUUCUUUUGCUUGAUGUUUGCUCAGAAACCGCUCCCUUCCUUGUAUUGAAUCCAGAAAACAAAUUAGUAAACUGCCCCCUUCCUUGUAUUGAAUCCAGAAAACAAAUUAGUAAACUGCCCCCUUCCUUGUAUUGAAUCCAGAAAACAAAUUAGUAAACUGCCCCCUUCCUUGUAUUGAAUCCAGAAAACAAAUUAGUAAACUGCCCCCUUCCUUGUAUUGAAUCCAGAAAACAAAUUAGUAAAUUGCUCCAUUGUAUUAAAUUCAGGAAACAAAUUAGUAGUCAAAAUGAUGAAGAAACAAAAGAUUUUCCAGGAUAAUUCUGUCAGUAAAGGCUCCUUUUGCAAUACAUACCCCUUGUCCCUGCAGGUAUACUGAUUUAACAUAGCUUUAUGAUUAAUACUUACCUGCCAUGCGUGCCAGCAACUAUAGGAAAGACUUGGGAAUCACGAAGGUGCAAUGUCCCAAUACAUUGAAGAUCCCGCUAUUCACACACCUUUGAUAGUUUAAAUAUUCAGGUGCUGGCCAAGCUUUACUGCUGCAUCUCUUUGAUUUAGUUUCAAAAGCUAACUGAUGAGCUGAUCUUCUACUAAGAGGCUGCUAAUCUUCAUCCGUUUCGCCGUACGUUGUCGGUGCUGUGUGGGUACUAGGGCAUAUAUAACCUCAAGAAGAAGAAGAUAAAAUACAACAUCUCGAGUCUCAAUAUAUCAGCCUCAGACCAAUCAGCUGUUAUAUUCGAAACAAGUAGUAGGAAUGCUACAUCAUAUAUUUAGGCCGAACAGUUGUUCUGAAAUCUCUUCGACUUGCUCGCCUUUUGACUAUAGAGGUUCACAUUUAUAUUAAGUUAGCUCUCUCAGAACCCUAGAUACUGUAUAUUUUGUUUUCCGCUAGCAUUCACUUUGUUGAUUGCAAAGUGAUGAACAUCAGGUUCCAAAAGCACUUGUCUGUGCCUCGUGAAAUUCUGUACCAGUUCGUUUUCUAUUCUAAUUUACUUGUGUUUUUUGGUACUUGGCUCGGCACGGUUGGAGAAUUCACAGGAUGAUUAUGACAAAUGUUGGAGAAUUUAUUUUCAAAACCAAACACCCUUAUAAACUGGCAGGGUAAUGGAGCGAGCACAGAUGGUUCUCAUGCCACGUUCUUGAAUACAACUCUAUGGCCGCAGGGGCACGAUAAACAAUCACAGCCAGAUUCCAUAAAUGUUCUUCCAGAAUAUAUUUGAUACAUGGUGUGAAAUGAAAGAAUUAUGCGAAGGAAAAAAAAAAAGAAAAAGAAAAAAGGGGUCACAGUGCAUGUAUCAUUUACAUUUUAAUCCUUCUCUCACCUAUUCCAAUCACUACUAAACCAGUGGAUGGAAAUCAUGCUGAUGCUGCAUGCUAAGAUGAAUAUUUGAGGGUGAACAGUAUCUGAAUGCCACGGUGUAAGGGCGAGUGAAUGCAAAGUCAAGGUGCUUGCUUUUCUGUCAAAUGUAGUAGGAAAUGAAGUGCAGUUUAAUCUGAUAACCAUGUUCUAUGUCUGAGUGGCAUUUCCUGAAAUGACUACUAAGGUGAAGCGGAUCGAGGUGAUCCAAGAGGACAGAGUCAUGCAUCUGAGAUGAAUAAACCAUGCUGGAGCUCAACUUGUGGUGAGCUUGUUCGUGUAUAAGGCGGUUGAUCCAAGCACUGCUCCUCACCGGAGUGCCAGGUCUGUAGAGAGGGUGCUGCCAUGGAUGGUAGCCGCUCACACUCGCUAGGCUGUGACAAGCCCACCUUGGUUGCCGAAGAGUCCAAGUACUGCUCUAUGCCAAAUGAUAGGUUUCUUAAGCUCCGUGCUUUCCGAAGUUGUGAGUGUUCAAUGCCCUUCUUCACGUGCAGCAGCGGCAGCUGCUGAUGCUCCGUCUCAUGCUUCCGUAGUAGCAUUUGUCUUUCUGCUAGGAAGGUCUCACAUCUCUUCUUGUCCAUUUCAAAUGUAGCCUGAGGGUUGCUGUCCCUCAUCUCCAGUUUAGCUGCAGCCAUGUUAUUUGAAAUUAAACACUGUAAUUCGAGGCUGAGAAAUGUCUUUCUCUUCUUCAGAUGAUCUUCGGUAAUAAAGGUAACCCCCCCAAAAAAAAAAAAUAGCUUAUCACUUUUGAGUUCUUUAUGUAUGACCUGACAUUCUCCUCGGCAGUAGCCAAUUGAGAUGUUGCAUACUCGCAGUUUUUUGUACUCCCUUCUUUACGAACAAAUACGUUCUUAAGUAGUAAUACGAAUGCUAUCAGUCUCAUAUACAAUGCAGAGAAGGAAUCCCUCCACAUUGGCCUGAUUCUCAAGAUUGUUAGUUACUACAUAGAAGAUCGCAAAGGAUUUUCUGUAAUGGCAGUGGCGUCAUUAGAAAUGAGAUAGGUAUAUUAGAUGCACCAUGACUUAAUCCUGCUUCGAAGAAAUAUUCACCUAAUUUAUCCUAUAUCAUUAGCAAGUUUGGUGUCAGUCUCUCUGUCUCUGAUUUUGAUCCACAACAAUUACUUGUUCAAGAUUCAACAAGACACAAAAAACCAUUAACUGGAAAGGGGCAAUAACUGAAGUACGUACUACGUAGUGGUUUGCAUUUAUCCUAAUUGUUCCCAAAAUUGCUAUAGAGACAUGGUUAUUAUAUUGUAGGAAGAUCUCAUAAUACAGAGAAAAGUAACGAGAAAAAAAAAAAGAAGAUGUAAACUUACCGUCAGUUCGGUCAGAUUCCCAGCUAAACAGCCAAACACUGUAGCGCUCGAAAUCAUACAUUGGCUUUCGAAGCUCAAGAAGCGGCUCUGCUACAGCCCGAACAAAGCGUUGAGGCCGCGUUCUACCCAGAGAUCAAAAGAAUUACAUACACCCCACGUAGAAUCAUCACUCUGUGCUUCGUAAACAAAUUAAAUCCAAAAAAGGCAAACGAAAAAAUAGAAGUACAUAAACAGAUUCGACUCUCCUCGAUUGAGGAAAUCUCAAUUGGGUUUUAAUAUUGUUGUGCAAUGCGAUCUGAUCUUAAGGAAACCAUCAUAAUGCGUCCCGGAGAAAAACCCAAGAAUAAAGAGAGCAAAAAAGAUCGAAUCAUGAUGGCAUGCAUAUGAGAGAGAAGAGACGCGGAGAAGAGAUAAGAGCUAAUUAGGAAGAAGAAGAUGAUGAAGAAGCAUGAAAAACAACCCAAUAUCAUCUCUCUGAGCCGCGCCUCGCUCUCUUACUCUGCCUCUCUCGCUCCUUCCUUUCAUAUCUCUCUCUCUUUCUCUCUCUCUCUCUCUCUCUCUCUCUCUCGUGUAAUAGAUGGAGGGUCAAACCGUUAUUUCUGUUACUCUCUGCAAAAACAGUUAUUUCCGUUUAGUCCCGCGCAUUACAUAACUAACCCGGACCGGCCCAGCCCGGCCUACAAUACAUGGAAGCUACGGCAAAUUUAAGCCCACCACAUGUUAUUCAUACUAGUCCUUUUUUUGUUUUUUUUUUUAUGAAAUUUCAGGAGGGAGAACGAAACAACCGGACCGUACUUAAUUAACAUUCUUGACUAAAAGCUCACCGUUUGAUGUCAGAGAUUUCAAAUUUGAAAUCUAGUUACUUUAUAUUUAUACUUAAGUUUAUUUUCUAGAAAAAAAAAGAACGAAGCUGACAGCUAACGCAAUUGCCUAAAAAUUUAAUAGUUCAUAAUCACGGUUGAAGCGAAUAACUUGUUAUCAUUAUCUCAAAAAAAAAAAAAGAAAAGAAAAAGAAAACAAAGAGAGAGGAGAAAACAAAGGACUGCUGUACGUAACUGUUUUUGUUUAUUUAAUGAAAGAAAGUAAAUUAGAAGUGGCGAGGUAAAAUUCCACAAGAAUAAUUUUCUCUCUAAUGAACAUGAACAUGAACAUAAACAUAAAACCACCAAUUAAAAAGGCCCCAUUUCUAAGGUCCCCAAUUCAAAGAUAAUUGAUUAGUACAUAGAAGCUACUUUUUUUGAGGAGUGGUCAUCGAUAUCACGAGCACGAGAAAAGGAAUCCUCCAAGUGACUUAAUAGCUGGCAACAACUAAGCUCGAAUAGCUAACCACCACCACCACCACCACCACCACCACCCCCCUCUAAACUCCACACAAGUCCCCAAAUACAAAAGAAAUGUACGUGGGAUGUCAUUGUUCAAAUAUGCAUAUAUGUAUAGCUUUACCUCACCAUCCAAGGCACUGAGGAGGCAUCCAUGACCCCACGCACACUUACCUGCUGCUCAUAUUAAUAGCAUAGUGGUUGACACUUGAGAGUUCACAUUGUAGCCCUAUAUAUCCCACCUCGCAUGGGGCUGGGGCAAGCGCAUACAAAAGAAUAAACCUUUCUUAGGAAGCUUUUCAACAAUAUUUCUUAAUAAGGUUUUGAUUCGUAUUAAUUUUGUUUUCAUGUAGAUAAUAAUAAUUCAUUAGAAAUUUUUAAGUUUUAAAAUUUAAAAAGAAUUUUAAAUACUAGAGAAAGAAAUUGUAAUUUUGGUUAAAAAAAAAGGUGGCAUGUGGCGAUAGAUUUGGACACCUAAACGCUUCGUUGAAGAGAUUUUCACUAAAUUUUUUUCCUGUGUAUAAAAGUUAGUUGUUAUUACUGGUGGUGUGUUCCAUUAUGUUCUCUAAUUGUAAUCUAAAGAGUACAUUUGGCAUAAAUUGUUCUUCCUUUAAAUAUUUCAUGGGAGCUGCAUCCCAUGUGAAAGUAAAACUCCGUUUGCAUUCAAUGUUAUUCCGCUUCUGACUCUCCUACCGCCCAUUAAAACAGGGCUAUAUAUUAAUAUAUAUACAAAUUAAGGACAGCAAAACAACAAAGCAUAUUGAUCAAGCAAUCCAUUAAUUACAUCCACCAAAAUAUUUUGAAUGCGCAGAAGAAAUGAGAGAGUCCACAUUGACGAAGAAAAUGAACAAAUAAUUAAUAAUCCCUGUUUAUUUAAUAAUUACACAAAAGAAUCCACCAGAAAUUACAAAAACUGUGAAUCUAACCAACCAAUCAUCAUCUUUACAUGGACCGAACACAUACAUUAUUCCGCCACCCAAAAGAAUGAAUAAAUAUUGAAUCACAAACCCUACACAAUUAAACUACACAAGAGAAAAAGAAUCCCCCGCUAAUCCUACCGAUCACAUGCAUCCUCUGUCAUCCCCUCACACUCAAUAUAUGUAUACAAUAAUAAUAAUAAUAAUAAUACGAAGAACCAUAUAUAUAUAUAUAUAUAUACACACGUACGUAGUGGUUGUAAUUAAAUUAAGCCAUCAUUCACUGUAUAAUAGAAGAGCGGGUAAACCCAGGAAUGAUAUGAUAUUAUGUUUAAACGAAUAAUUACGCGUCGGCCUGGCGCUUGGCCCCGGGCCGGCGCUUGUUGGAGCGGCGGCGGCGCAUGGCGACGAACUUGGACUCGCCCCAGUCCCAGAAUCUCUCCUGCUCCGGCGGGGAGUUUUUGCACUCCGGGAACGUGGCAGCGUAGCGGACGGCGUCAUAGCAGACGGUGUAGGUCAUGUAGCGCUCCCUGAACCGGCGCAUGGCGGCGCGCUUCUGCGGCGUGACGACGGCGUAGUCGGCGGUCAUGAGCUCGAGCUCGGCGUCGGCACAGUGCUCCGCAGCGGCGGAGGAGGGAUCGAGCUGGAUGGCGGAGUCGGCGCGGCAGCCGCGCAGGACGAGGUCGGAGAAUUCGGCGACGAAGGGGGCGUACUUGUAGCUGACCUUGUACUUGCCCCCGUCGGUGGCCCAUGUGGAGCCGUCCCAGAUGGUGGCGUACACCGACAUCGGCUUCGACGGGUAGUCGCCGCCCAUCGCCUCGCUCCGGACGACUUCUCUUAUCGGCACGUCGUCCACGUAGAAUCUACAUGAUAGUACAAUCGAAACGGAGCUUAAUUAAAUUAAAUUAAAUUAAAUUAAAUUAAAUUGUGGUCCACUAUUAGUAAUAAUAUAUAUAUAACUGAACAUUCACAAUUCACAAAAUUUCAGAACAAUCCGCUGUUUCGCAUUGGUUGGGAUUCGAAUAAUCUCGUACCAUAUAUGCAUCAACCAGAAAAAUACCAAAACAAAAAAGGUUAUAAUUUCUAGCGCAGAAAUUUAGAAUUCACUAUCUAUUAAUUACCUCUCUAUCUAAACCAGGCAUGUUAAUUAGGUUUGGCUGCAACUUUCGCACAAUAUAUAGGAACACCCACCCAAAUUGCUGCAGCCUAAUUAAACAGAGGCUCAAACACUUAUUUUGGCUUAUGUCAAAACAGGCGUCUUUAUAUUUCUCCAAAACAAAAAAAAAGAAAAAGAAAAAGGAAAAAGAAAAUGUACGCCCAAAAGUCAUGCAUAAAUCUUGUUAAUUGUAUCCUUCCGUCCAAAAAUACAAAUAUUUUUUUUAAUAAUUUAUGAUAAAAUUAAUAAGGCUAGUGUAAAAAAUGUAAUGUCCGGAUGAAAGGUAUAUAAGAUAUACAUCCAAAUAGUAUUGCUCUAUCUCAAAUUCUUUAAAUUCUGCCUACAAUUCUUGUUCUGUGGCGGCUUAAAUUUUCUGUGAGCAGCAAACGAAGAUAGAAAUAUAGCAAGAAAAUAAAUAAAUAAAUAAAUAUGUAUAGUAGUAAAUUACAUGAUGUAGUUAGGGGUCCAGAGGAUGGAGUAGCGGUGAGCCUCCUCGGUGGGGUCGAAGNUUAGAAUUCACUAUCUAUUAAUUACCUCUCUAUCUAAACCAGGCAUGUUAAUUAGGUUUGGCUGCAACUUUCGCACAAUCUAUAGGAACACCCACCCAAAUUGCUGCAGUCUAAUUAAACAGAGGCUCGGAUGAAAGGUAUAUAAGAUAUACAUCCAAAUAGUAUUGCUCUAUCUCAAAUUCUUUAAAUUCUGCCUAUGAUUCUUCCCUAAGGGUACGUUUGGUUCGAAUUAUCCUGACAGGAUUACAGGCAAUCCUGCCAGGAUAACUGUGUUUGGUUAAUCCGCUAUGUAAUCUAGUCGUUAAUGUAGCAUUACAAAUCGAGCAGGAUUACAUCGAAAAUAUUAACGGGAGGGAGGUCGUGUAUCUUGCAUUACUGAAACCCGUUAAUACUAUAUAUUAUUUAAAAUGACAAUUUUACCCUCCAACAACCCCAAAUCUAAUUAACAAUAUUAUUUUCAUCUCUCUCUCGCCUUCCCCCUCUCUUUCGCACGCCGCUUUCUCUCCCUCUCGAUGUCUCUCUAUCUCUCUCUCUUUCUCUCUCUCGCACGAACACCUAUCAUUUUCUAUUGCGUCGUCCUCCCAGGUAAUCAUCACGAUCUCUUUCCCUCCAUUCGUCAUUUUCGCAAAAAAUAAUAUUCAAAUGACCACAACAAGGGCAAUUUUGGAAAAACUAUACUUUUAUGUCAGGAUUACUAAAUUUUAUAAACUGAACCAAAAGUAUUAAUGCUAUAAACACUGUAAUCUAGUAUUACAUUACUGCAUUAAACCAAACGCGCUAAUGCAGCAUCAGUAGUAAUCUCACGCCGAAAUCCAAAAUAUCUAGAUAUGUUGAGAUACUUUGUAAUAUUACAUAACUCGAACCAAACGGGCCCUAAAAGGAUAUUAUUUUAAUUUCGAAAGUUAUAAACUGUUAUUAUCCAAAAUGGAGUUACGCCAAAAGUACACAGAGAUGUAUCAUAACUAUUUUAUUACAAUACGCCGAAAAUAAUAUUUUGUUUAAAAAUAGGCAUGGUAUUUUUCAUCAUACUUUUCCACUGCACGUAAAUAGAGCUUUAAUUAUACAAAAGUAAAUAACAAUAAUAAAAUAAUCCAUCGGAGGGANCCAUAUCCGAAUCCAUAUCCGUCGGGUUUCUAUUUUUGAUAUCCAUAUCCGAAUCCAUAUCCAUAUCCACCGGAUAUAUCCGUUUCAUUCGGGUUCGGAUUCGGAUAAAAUUUCGGGUAUUCAUACCCAUUGACAUCCCUAGGCAUGAGAGGUCUGGAUCAGUACUCAAGUGUAAAGAAAGUGUUGUUGGGCAUAAAGAACACUACAAUUCUUGUUCUCUGGCGGCUUAAAUUUUCUGUGAGCAGCAAACAAAGAUAGAAAUAUAACAAGAAAAUAAAUAAAUAAAUAUGUAUAGUAGUAAAUUACAUGAUGUAGUUAGGGGUCCAGAGGAUGGAGUAGCGGUGAGCCUCCUCGGUGGGGUCGAAGGGGAGGAGGUAGCGCUCCUCGCGGCCGCGGCUGGUGCUUCCGUUGCCGUAAACGUUGGUCUGCACCCUCCACUCCUUCCCCCGGGUGUUCCCCAGGAACUCGAAAUCCAGCUCAUCGUGGUUCUUCUCGAACACGUCCCCGUUCGAUAACUGCAACAUCAUCAUUCAUUCAUUUAUUAAUUAAUUAAUUGAUUAAGUUAGUAACUGAACCCCCAGAACGUUAAUUUAAUCUCCCUUAACCCACAUAAGCAAUUCAUUGAUUGAUUAAUACUCGUACGAUUAUUUUAUUUAUUUUUAAAUAAUAUUAUUUAGUUUACAUGUUAAUAAAUUAAAAAUUAAUUACGCGGAACUAACAUGGCAGCGAAUAUUCUACGCCGCAGCCAUUGGCACUACCACACACCCAUGUGCCCAUUACUAGUAGUUGUAUUCUCGCGGCUUAUAAGAAAAAAAAGAAAAAAAAAAAGAAGACGAAGAAGAAGAAGAAGAAGAAGAAGAAGAUGAUAACGCGGCUCAUGAAACGGACCAUCCUGGCUUCUACUUGAUUAACGCAUGAAUCUUAUUACGCGGACUACGCGUAAUAACUCAGUUAAUUAAAAACUGCAACAGUUACGUAUGGAAACAUUUUGGGAGUGAGAAAAACAGGGCAAACUAGUCAAUUUCUCCAUUCAUUUAUUUGUUUAAAUUUUUUUUUAAAAAAAAAAGAGAGGAGAAACUACUACUCUAGUUUGUGAGAGCUCACGUAGAAGGCGACGACGACGCCGGCGGUGUAACCGGCGGGGAGCUUGAUGGAGGCGCUGAAGAAUCCGUGGAGGUACGAAUCCGACGAUAUGAAUCCCGACCCUAAACCCAAAUUAUUAAACCCAAAAAAGCAAAUUAGAACGCGAACGGCGCACGAUAGAUGAGAGAGGAAGGAGAAGGAGGGGAGGGCGCAGGUUUAUAGAACAACACCUGAGUAGCGGUUGAGCAUGAUGCGGACGCUCCGGCCGUCGGGGGACCGGACGAGAUUGCCCUCGCCGAAGAGCUGUGAGUAUCCCUCGUCGAACGGGAUCGCCGGGACGUCGAAGGCCGCGGCGGCGACGGCGACGAGCAGCGCCGUUAGCACGAAGACGACGGAAUCCACCAUGGCCGUUUCCUUCGCUCCGCUUCUCUGCUUCCUCGAUCUCUCUAGGGUUUCUAGAUGAUGAUGAUGAUGAUGAUGAAUUGAUGAUGACUCCUCUCUUUCCCUCUCUCUCUCUCUCCCUCUCUAUAUAUACUCUGUUGUGUUUCUAGACGACUCUUUGCGUUUGCUUUAUAAAUAAGAAAGGAGGGGAGCGGACGCGGAGAGGGAGAGGAGGUUACGAAAGGGUUUUUUUUUUUUUUUUUUUUUUCUUUUCUUUAAAGGCAUUUUUUUUUAGGUUUUUUAAAAACUUAUUUUUCAUAAUAAUGCGAGAAUGAAAUAGAUGGAGUGGGCGGUUUGGGUGGCUGAUCUGGCGGCUAACGUUAUCAAAAGGAGGAAUUCUACACUGUCACACUUGCAUCACAUCAUCAAUAACAAGCCAAUCACAUUCCUUCUUUUUAAAUAAAAGUACAAUAAAAAUACUUUUUUAUAAUCAUGAUGGGACAUAUAUUCUUAAAAGGAUUAAUUUGAUUGGUUUGUUACGCCACGUCACUAAUAUACCCGUUGCAUUCUAGAAUUUUUCUAUCAAAAGGGUGGAAGUGAAAUGGCGGCCUACUGGUUUUGGAUAUUUAUGACUCGCCACUUUCGAUCUUUAUUUUUAAGGGAGAAAAAAAAAAGUAUUUAUAUUCAUUAAUUAGUUUAUUAGAUUCAAGCAAUCAAUCUACUUGCCUCAAAUUUUUCUAAAUAAAUUUUGUAAUUCACUAGAUUUAAAAUCUCUAUUCUUACUUCAACUAAAUUAUAGCAACACUGCUUGUCUCCAACGUAAGUGUCAAAAAAUUUAAUGAUUGAUAUCUGAGAUCGUAAAUUCGAAACCUAAUUAUUUAAAAAAAAUUUAAAUCGUAACAGCAAUCAUGCAUUGAGAAGGUGAAUAAAUUAUUUUAAAAAAUAUUCAGUUCAAAUGAAAAAAUAAAAGAAAAUCGUGUAUUUUUAAUAAAAAAGUUUAUAUAAUAAUAAAUAAGUGAGCCAAAAUUUGAAAAGGAUGUGAAGUGUUUCAGUUUUAUUUUAUUAUUAUUUAUUUUUUAGCUGUGAAAAUGAAAGGGGCACUGGAGAUCCAGUGCGCGUUACGUCGAAUGCCGUGGCGAUGUCGCGGUGGAGAAAUGGAGAAAGUGAUGUGAAGCUGCACUAGCGGUGCGGCGAGUCCAAUUUUUUUGACUCACCUUUUCUUUGUCCCGAAAUUACCCUUUGGAGAAGCAUCGUGGGGGCGGCGACUUCAGCAUGGUUUUCGUUGUAAUUUUGCGGAAGGUGCAGGGGCAGAUUCGUCAUUUGGAUGGUUAAAGCGAGUGGCCAAUUAAGUCGUUUCCGCCACAAAGUAUGACCGCGUCCGACAACGACGGCGGUGGACGAAUGCCACGUUAUUAGUGUUGGUCUUCUUUUUAUUUGCUAGACUAGAAGACUAGACUAGUAUAUUAAUAAUUGGUGCAAACGCCUACUCCACUUUAUCUUUUUUUUCUUUUUCAAAUAGAUUCAAAAUUUUUUAAUUUUAACAAUCCAAUUAAAUGCUCUAAAUUUUAAAACAAAAUUAUACAUAAUUUAUCUAAAUUAUAAAUUAUUUUGAAUUAAGCAUAUAUCCGAUCUUUUAAAAUUUUAAUUUUACUAGCUAAUCUUGUAAUUUAUUUUAUUUAAGUCAGACAACGACACUUUCAUUUUUAAAUUUAAAUUAAUUAUUUAUUUAAUAAAUUUAUAGUUGUAAGUAUCGUAUGAAAUAUGCAAACUAUAUAAAUAUGUAAAGACAAAAGACACGUUCAAAUUUUGAAAUAAAAGUGUCGUAGAUUGACUCUAAACCAAAUAAUAUUGAGUAGCUGGAUAGUAAAAUCAAAAUUUUGAAAGACUGAAUAGUUUAUAGUUUAAAUAAGUUUUGUACGUUUUUACUAAAUUUUACUAAAUAUCUCUCUUCAAAUGAAGUUACUUAUUAAUGUAUAUUCGUUUUAUGCAAAUGAAGUUACUUAAUGUACGUAUACUCGUUUUAUUUGCAUGUCUAAUGAAUAAUUUUAUAAAAUUUUAAAAUGCAAGAUUUUUUUUAAAAAAAUCUUAAUAAUUAAGUAGGAAUAAGCAACUUAAUUUUAUAAGGUUAUCUUAAUUUGCAAAAUCAUUAAGUCCAUAUAUUUCCAUUUGAUUAAUUGUCAUAAACUUCUAGCUAGGUACAUCAUUCUUUGAAUAUUUUUCAAGAGUGAUUGAGAUAGUAAACCAAACCUCCAACAGGUGUCAUUGUCACUAUUAUUGUAACAACUGCUACGUUUAUCUUUUUUUCCAGUUGUUGCUAUCAAUCAAAUGGCCUUAAGCAUAAUCUUUAGCGAGUGCUGUACGAAUCAACCUUUUUUUAAAAAAAAUUUUCUUUUGAGGGUACAAAUGUACAAAGGAGCAUAAUCUUUUGGCAAAUUAUAGCUUAACUUGAUUCAUAUAUAUAAUGACAUUUUAUGCUAAUAAUUCUUGCGUAUGAUUAGUUGGAAUAGAAACUAAGUCGGCAGGUAUAUGUUUGCAGUGAAAAAAUAAAGUUGGUGGGUCAAAUACAAUUUGGACAAGAACUUCUUUUGUUUGGAAGGAUUGAUCCUCUACUGUUUGAUCGAUUCCAAUUAAUCAUAAGUUGUGAAAUGGACUAAAAUUCAUUAAUUGUAGGGUCACGGGGCAUCCAAAAGCAUUGUUGUUGAACACAUGAAUCACGGCCGCACGCUACUUCUCACGCGUAAUUUGUAUCACCGAAAAGGAAAAAUUAAUAAAAAGAAUAGAGGACAGAAAAAGACUAUUCGUCAAAGUUGGGACAUUUGAUCACUUCCUUUCUUCGUCUAAAAUGAGGUCGAAUUUUUGUGCGCUGNGAUAAUUUUAGCUAAAAUUUCCGUGUGGCGUGUUGUGAAAGCGGAAACAAGGGGCGGACAAAAAGCAUCCAAUCCAGUAAACAGGAGUGGGUCCCACGAAGAAUUUUUGCCAACAGUGAUAAAUGCGGUGGAAUACAUGCGUGUUUGUAUAUAUAUAUAUAUAUAUAUAUAUAUAUAUAUAUAUAUAUAUAUAUGGUCUCUAAUUAAAUGUUUCUAUUUAAUUUUUAAACGCUGCAUGUGAGGGACAACCAUGAAAUUCAGUAAUUCUUUUACUUAAUUUAAUUCAUAUUAAUUAAUCGUGGCUUAAUUACGAGGCAACCCAAUGCAUUUUAUGUGGCAGGACUAAUUAAUCCUAGGCUUUUUUCAAUUAAACCUAUAUAUUCAUUCAGUAACAUAAUAUUAGAGUCGGUCUUAUACUCUCUCUAACAUCCAUACUGUUAAUUAGAUCCAUUCGGUCUUAAUCCAAUGCAUUUUAUUUUUUUACUUUUAUAUAUUUAUGUAUUUAUAUUUUUUUCAUGUAACUUUUGAUUCAUUCGAGGUCCCGCUACCUCAACAUUUAUAUUAAAAUUUAUUUUUCAAAUAAAUGAAACAAGUAGUGUGCUAUCUUUAUCUUAAAAAAAAAAUUCAUACUGUGCAUGUGAGUAGAAACAUAAUUUUAUAUAUACUAGUCAGUGCACGUGCGUUGCACGUAUAGAUUUUUCUAAUAUAAUUAAAUAAAUUAAUAAAUUAGUGAAUAAAUAAUAUUAUAUUUNUUUGUACUUCGUACUUCAAGUGCCCUAUUUAUUUAAAGAAAAAAAAUCCAGCCAUAAACAAAUUAAAUAUCUUACAUUUUUUUUUCUCUCUCUUACUUCUUUUUCAUUCAUUAUUUUUGAGAAAUCGGGUGAGAUUGAUCCAAAGCAUAUAAUAAACUGGGGUUAAUUUCAGAUAGGUUCAUGUAAAUAUAAUGAAUAAUAAAUAUAUCUCUAAAAAGUUUAAUUUUUAUAUAUUAUCAAUACAAAAAUUCUAAUAUUUUUAAAUAUAUCUUUCCGAUUUGCUAUCGUUAGAAAAUCAUUAAAAAACUGUUUAUAUUUUCAAUUUUACCAUCACAAAUUAUCUCUGCAAAAAUUAUAAUAGUAUAAUAUAAUAGGGGUAAAAAUGUCAAAAACUUACUCAAAGUCGGUGUUCGUACUGAUCUGAGAUUGGGGAGUUCGAGAAUUUUUUUUUGCUGAAGGUCUGGGAGUUGAAAAUACCAUCGAUCCGAAGUUAAAAUUUUUAUUUAGUUAGCACUUAAGAAAUGCCUACCUAUAAUUGACAGCUUACUCAAAGAGUCUGAUUCGAAAAUCAACAGUGCGUGAUGUGCGGCAACAAUUUAGAGACUGUUGAUAAUCUGCCAGUCAGAUGCGUAUCAACAUAUUUCUAGGACCUAGGAUGGAAAUCAAAAGUGUUUUGGGAGCUUCUGACCGGGGACCGUAGCCAAGAGGCAGCAGCAAGGGAUUUAAUUAGGGUCGCAAUCUGUUUGUGAAUGAUUUGACGGAUAAAAAUAAUAUUAUUUUUAGGGGCCAAUAAUUUGAUCAUUUUUGAGUAUUAGACGAAUAUAGGACGUGAGUAGGCCGAAUAGACCGAGUUUUACAACUUUUAGUAUAUUGGUUUUAAGUGAGGAGUAGAAGUAUGAAUUUUUUAUGAAUAUUUAUUUUAGUUUUUAUUUGUCUUUUUCUUUUUUGGUUGCUUUAAAUGUUUUUCGAGGCCGCAUUGCCUCAACCUGCUAAAUAAAUAAAGCGGGUAGCGUACUAUCUUUCUCUAAAAAAAAAAAAAAAAAAUUAACUAAAGUUAAGUAUUUAAUUUAUAGUUAACUAAAUUUUUCUAACCGAUUCUAACGACAUGAACAUGUUUGAAGACAUUUGGACUUUUGUAGGGACAAUAUAUGAAAGUUAAAUUUUGUAAGAAUAUAUUUAUCAUUUAUCAUAUAUCAUAUUUGUAGAGACCUGUAUAAAAUUAACCCAUAAAACUAAUAAACACAAUUUAUGAAUAUGUAUAUAUUUGGUUAAUUAGCAAGGUAUAUGAUAAUAAUUUUUCUACGCUGAUUUUAUAAAAGUAAAUUUUUAUGGACCCUUGUGAUUAAGUCAUAUGUAGUUGCCGACACAAUCUUUAUCAAUAAUAAUUAAGGAUUAGGGAUGAUAAUAAUUAUUAAUGAAGUUAGAAGAGUCGUAGCUUACGCGACCGCUUUGUUAUAUUUAUUUAUACUAGUCAGUGCACGUGCGUUGCACGUAUAGAUUUUUCUAAUAUAAUUAAAUAAAUUAAUAAAUUAGUUAAUAAAUAAUAUUAUAUUUAAAUAGUAAUGUCAGAUUUAAAAAUUAUAAAAUAUUACAAACUAUAAGCAAAAUACUGGAUAGAAAAUAUAGUAAAAUAAAAACGUAAAUUUGAACAUCCAUACAUGGAAAUAGUUUAGAUUAAAAUGAAGUAAUAAAAGAAGAUUUAAAUUCAUUCUAAUUUUAUUGUCUUAGUUGUCGUCAUCGAUGAUCUUUUUUUUUUUUGAAAGCGAGAAAACUUUGACUCGAUGAUAUUCAUCACUGAUGCUUCGUCAUCGUCUUCAAGAAUUUUUCGAUGAGUAUAAUUUAGAGGAAAAAAAUCUUACUUAUUGAUUCAAAUUUAUAUUUUUUAUUUUGCUAUAUUUUCUAUAUAUAAUACUUAUGUGUAUUUUGUUUAUAGUUUGUAAUAUUUUAUAUGGGUACCUCUCAAUUGAGUUAUGAAAUUUUGUUAGAAAAGAAAAAACAAUUAUUAGUUGAACAAAUAAAACUUUCGAUUGUAUUCCUAGAAAUAUCAACGGUCAGGAUGUAACCAUUUGUUGUUAUUACAAAAUAAAUGUCAAGUACUAAAGCAAAAGUUUUUUUAAAAUAACAAGAUAAAAGUGAUAAUUAAUUACGGCUAAAUUACAGAAAAAUUUUUGUCAAAAUUCGAUUUUUCACAUUCCCCCCGUCAUUUAAAAAUCUACACUUUGCUAUCUUGUAAAAUAAAAAAUGUUCACUUCACUCCCUGCCAUUAGUGAUCCGUUAGGAAUCCGUUUAUAAAAUAUUAUUAUAUAUUUUUUAUGCCAAAAAUGUCCUCAGCCUUCUCUCCUGUUGACAAAAAUGAUGAGAGGCAAAAUGGUCAUUUUGUUAUCACAGUUUAUACCGUACCCCCUAUGACUAUUUUUUAUUUUACAAGGGGGCAAAGUAUAAGUUUUUAAAUUACAGAGGAAAAAAAUAAAAAAUCAAAUUUUGACAAGAAAGUUUUAUGUAAUUUAGCCAUUAAUUAAUUAUUUUAUAUCAUAUUUUAGAGAAGAUAAUUAAUUUACAAAGUGAAAGCAAGUUAUUAUGCAACUAAUUCAUCAAAUCAUCGAAAAAUAUGAAAGUAAAUUAAAAAGAUUACUACAAGUACCAAUUUUAUCGUAUACAACUCACUCAAAUAUAAGUAAAUAAUCAAUUCAAAAAAAAUACAUAUGAACAAAAAAAUUUUAAAAAAAUAAUUUUAUAAAAUUAACUGUUCAGUAAGUGUAUGAAGACCAAUUAAAUAAAUAUCACCAAAUUGAUUAAAAUUCACAUAAUAUUCAGGAUAUUUUCUUCUAAUAGUUCUUUUCUCUUCAAAUUCAAGUUCUAAUUGAUGUCAUUGUCUAUGGCAACUUAUAUAGAAAAAAAUAGAGAAAUAAUAAAAAUAAAUAAUUUAUAAAUAUUUAAUAAUUAUUAAUUGCAUUUAUUUAAAGUGUAUACUUUUUUAUUCAACCUCUUUAUUUUUUUAAGAAACCUCUUUCUUUCUUGGACAAAAUAUAUCUCCUCAACCUCUUCGUUUCUUCGAAAAAUCUCUUCGUUUUUUAGAAAAGAUACCUUUUCGUCAAAACUUUUAACUCUUCAUUUCUUGGAGGAACUUUUUCGUAUCUUGGAGAAGAUACAUCUUGAUCCUUCACACCACAUUUAUCGGAUGCUAAGACGAUGAAGAAAUCAAAUAUUAAAUUUUUUAUUUCUUUAUUAAUUAAAAAAAUUCUAAUAUUUUUGUUUGUAGAAGAAAAUAUUUAAAUCUCCAUUUCUCCGAUGCUUUAAAGAUAAAAGGAUUGCACAUCAUUUUUUUCUUUCUCUACUAAUUGAAGAAACAAUAAACUAUUCAUUUCUAUGAGCACAUACAUUUUUUGGGCACCACCUUCCUUAAUGUACAGAAGAAUAAAGUUCGUUGAACCAUAUAUAUAAAGCACAAUCAUUCUAAUUUAUAAAUUUAAAAUUACAAUUUAAACCUCUAUAAUAUAUGCUAUUAGAAAAAACUAUUUACAAAAAUUAUAUUUUUUAAAAAAAUUAUUUUAAAAUUUAAAAUUAAAUAUAAACUAUUUACUAUUUUUUUUUAAUAUUGGCUUAUAGAGAAUAUCAUACACAAGAUGAAUACUCUUUUCAAUAAAUCAUUUGCUUCCUAUCAAUAAUAGAGGAUGGAAAAUGCCCACAACAUCAACCAUGAGCUAAUAAACUUUAUCUAUUAGAAUUUAAAUUUAAAUCCAAACAAUCAAAUAAAUUAUGUUUAUCUAUUUUGUGAUUUUGCAUUUUAAAUUUUACAUCACUGAUUUUUAAAGGUUAACUCUGGUACACUACAUUUUUUUUUUAGUUUCCUCAGCGAAAUUCGCACUGUAAUUUAUGAGUUUAUUCGAAUAAAAUCACAAUUUUAU